CCGGCCUUCCUAUGUUCCACACCUCCACUCUAUCUCUCUCAAUCUAGUAGAAACUAGAAGAUCUAUUUCUACUUACAUUGGUUGCUAAGCCUAAAAAGAAAUAUUAUUUAGAGAAGAGGUUUUCCUUCGAGGGCACCCCUCAAUCUCUAUGAUAAUUUCUUGUCUUCUCCAGGGGCCAGGGGGUCUCCUUAUAUAGUGCUCCUCCUCUAUGCAUUUUUGGUUCAGCAGGCGAUGUGGUACUAAACUUUCCACCAUAUCUCAUUAAAAUACACAUAGGCCUUCAUGGACCAAAAUCUCAUUUGGGCCCAAUUAAUCCCGCAGCUCUUUUAUGUGGUGUGCUUCUUUUAUUAAUAUCUCUUGAUUCCGAACACCAAAUAUAGCAAAUAAUAUAUGCAUUUCGAUCAGCUCGACGAGAUCUUUGUAAUGGUGUACUCCAUUCUGUGAUUGGUGGAAACACCUGGGCGGGCGCCCAAGGGGAGAGGGCGGGCGCCCUGCCCCCGGGCCCGUUCGGCCUCCCGUUCGUUCUCGUGGUUUCUGGAGUCUUCUAGAUGAUAGAAAAUUGCGCGGCACGUUAAUAUCUCUAUGUAAACCCAACAUGUGGGCCUUUCUUUCUCAUUUCUUGAUAACCCCCUGCAGAAAUAGACAAACACCAAAACUCGUGGAAUCCUGUCAGAUAAAACCCUAAGUCUAGCUGUUGAUUUCAUUUGGAUCCUUUUCUUUGUUUAUUUUAUAAUUAAAUUUGAUACUUAAGGACCGUCAACAAACUCCCCCAAGCUUACCUCUUGCUCGUCCCUGAGCAAGGAUGAACUCAAGAGUUUCUGCAGUGGUUUCAUGCCUUAAAAGUACACACGCAUUCAAGCAAGAUCUCAUCUCUUAGUUAGAAUAAACUGUUAAGACUUAAAACUUACUCAUUUUACCUUUCACCAUGGGGCUUGUAACCUUCACUUGUGUCUUGAGCAGUUAAAAGAUAGAACAGUCUAGUCAAGUGCUAUGUCUCGUAUUCUUGAUCAGCUAUAGCUCUGGAGUUUUUGCAGAUUUUUAAAUAAAACUCAGAGAUUCCUUGUAUGACUCUCUCAGAUCUCUCUUUUGUGGUAUUUCUGGAUCCUUUCCAAGGCAGUAAUAGUAUAUGCCUUCUCUCAAAGUAUGUAGUAUUUAUGGUAUGAGGCAUAGUGAUAUUGCCUUCUCUCUCACCCCACUCUAAUAAGGUUCUGAUAUCUGGAGCUCAUAGGUGGGAGACCGCUAAUACAUACUUACAAGACAUUUAUUGCAUAGUCAAACCAUGGAUCCAGAAGAACAAGUCAAUAAGUCAAAUCAAGAUGUGCAUGUGUGGCGAGUGAAUGGUAUAUGGUGAUGAUGGUGAUAACAAUGGUGAAAGUCUAAUUCUACUUUUGCUCUUUUAAGGGGAUAGAUACCUUUCUUGCACUUUGAAGCUUUUUUGGGAGAAUGAGAUGCUCUAUAUUUUCUUUUUCUUUCCUCUUAGGUGGGUAUCUUGUACCCCUAAUUCUACUGUCGGACACUUGUCCAUUUUUACCUCUCGUCUCACUUUUUCUUUUCUUCGAGGUUCCGGGCACUUGCCCCUGUUUAUUUCCUUGUAUUAUUUUUUUUCUCUUUUUUUUAUUUUUCUUUUUUUUAGAGCACUCAUCUCCUGAAAGAAUGUAGCAAGUGGUAGUAACCAAAAUAACUGGAGCAUUUAUUUCACAGGGAAUAAUAGGGAUAGGAAAAUGUUUUUGGCUAUUCUCUCCCGGAUUAGGAGUAGAAUAAUUUUGGGUGAAUCUGGAGAUGGAAAUGAGUGGAUAUAUGUGGAUGGUACUUCCGGAGUAGAAGUAGCAUGUAUGAGUGGACAUGCAAGUGAAUCUUGAUUUUAACCACAUGACAAGCUCCUAAGGGUCUACACAGCUUGACCACACUCAAUGCUCAUAAGCAGUAAAAAGUAAAUAUGUGGCUCAAAGUCUAGCAAGCAUGUAUAUAUGGCUGUGGUAGGAAUUUAAACUCUCAUCAUAUAGGAACUCAUCAUGUGUUAUUUUCAAGAUUUUCCAAAGAUAAAAUUCUCCAGAAUUCUAGCAUCUCUAGGAAUAGAUAAACAGCAGCUCAACCUUCCCAUAUCAUAUCCGUUAACGACUUAGACUUUAGAUCAAGUACUCUUCCCACAAGUUCAGAUUUAGAGCAAAUCAUAAUUCAUAACAGUCAUGCCUAAACUUGAGAGAGAUUUCAAUUUUAAGAACUAGUCAUGGCAGAGCAACUAUUCAUCAUUUCCAUGAGAGAGCUUAUCAUGGGGGUUCAUAGCAAAUUUUAUUUAUUUAUUUGUUUAGCAAACUAAGCAAAGAUAUAUAUAAAAGCACAAAAUCUUUAUUUGGGUUUUCAUAAUUAUGCAUCUUUUAUUAUUUGAGUAAAGUAUAAACGCGAGUAGAAACACUUAGCUAGAUAAAUGGGGGUGCUCUCCCCCAAGCUGGAUUUUGACGUAAUUUCUUCUGAUGUAGCUAGCAGGUGGUAGAGGUGUAUUUGAAAGUCAGCAGCAUUCUGACAGCGAUUAGAAUGUCCUCCGUCUGCUAGUCUUCUUGAUUCUUAAAUGCUGUAGAGCUCAAAUAGACAACAAAGCUUUGUGGAACUGGUUAAGUGUUAGCAUAAAUAUCUAGCCUUUAUCAUAUUGAGCCUCCUCAAUAAAUAUUACUUAUUUAGCAGGAUUAUGCAUUUAUUAUUUUUAUAUUUUUUUAUUGUAAGAUGAAAACUUAUUUAUUUUAUUUUUAUGCCACCACAGAGAAUGUACUUAUGGGUUUUAUGCCAUGAGCAUACUCACAUGGGGCUUACUAUUGUUUUAACAUUUUUAUUUUUAUUUUUUUUUCAAGAUAGCAUGAACCUGAUUAACUAAGCAAACUAUUGAAUGGAAAAGGAUAACUACCAAGUUUACCUCUUGGCAAGGCGUUCGGUGUUUUUAAGUCCUCCGAACGGGACUCCUUGUGUUUUCAGUCGUCCUGGGAUUCGCUAGGUGGCGUAGUCGGUGAUUCCGGCGGCGCCUCUUCUUCGUGUAUAACUAUCUUCUCUCUCCACACCUGACUCGGUGCUACAGUCUCCUCAGGACAGUUCUGUUCAAGUUGUAUGUCUUCAGACCUUAUCACUUCUCCUUCGUAGUCUACCCCAUCCGUCCUUGAUGAUUUGCCUCCUCUGGUUGCGGUUGCGUUGUCUUCUUCUUGUCCUGACCUACUUAGAGUCUUCAACUAUAUAGUUAAGGUCAGUAAAAUAGCGGCAUACCUUCUUAGAGGAGAAGUGUACGUGGACUUCUCCGAUUCCAAUAUAGAUGAUGGCUUUGAUAGUGUUGUGGAACGGUCUUCCAAGGAUGGUGGGUGGAUCAUACUCGUCUUCUCCCAUGUCAAUGACCUGAAAAUCAUCUGGAGCUGAAUGUAUCUUGGUUGUAGGAGCAUGGUUCCAUGCAGAGCUGAUAAGUGACUGUGGCCAUUAUGUUAUCGUCAGAUCCGGUGUCGUAGAGUGUCUUCUGAAAAGAGUAUCCAUUGAUUGCGCACUCGAUGCUUGAAACACCAGGGUCGUCCUUCUUGAUCAGGAAAGGCGAUUUGAGUCGACGAUCUUGACCUCCUCCAACAAGGAUCCAAUGUUUUAAGUCUUCUAGACAAGACUUCUCACCGUCUUCAUCCUUUAGGUGCAUCAUUUGAUUAGGUGUGGACCUUGAUGUCUGCACCUCUUGAUACGGAGUCAUCCUUGUUCUUUGUUUGCUCAGCAGUUCAAAGUGCGGUGUUGGCAAUAUCCUGCUUAGUGUGUUUGUGCUUGUAGAUCUAGGUCCUUCACUUGGUGGAAUUUGGGAGUUGUAAAACUCCUCCAUGUUUUGUUUGAAGUGUACCUAUUCAUAGAGACAAGGCAGAGAUCAAGUGCAUGGGCCCUGUUGGUGGAAAACACCAACAGAACCAAAAGUGUAUUUGUUCUUCUCUAACCUUAAGCAUAGUGAGCAAGACAAAGUUGAUGGAUCAUGAGUGUAGCAUUUAAAACAUUUGUUAGAUCAGAUGGCUCAACCUAAUGGAAAGAUAAUCUAUCUAUAUUUAUGUUUUGUUUAUAUCUUCCAAAGAUUUAAAUGUACAACAUUUUAGCUUAUAUGAUUAGGAGUGUGGGAUCACGAAGGUAGUACUAAGAACAAAGAUUAAAGGACUAAACAUGUUGAAUUAAUUGAGUUGGUUAAUUUGGAGUUACAGAUCAGACAUGUUUGUCUCUUUAUUUAUGCGAAUGCUAGAACCAAGGAGAAACUUAUAAAAAUGAUAGUCAAGUACUUUAAGAUGUUACCUUAAUUGAAGAGUGAUGGUAUAGUAUCACCUUGUGGAAGCUUUCCUUUCUUAGCGGUUGUGCAUCGUGUUUGUGGCACCCUCCAUGAAUCAUCUCUUAUGAGCUACGUCUUUCUUGUGCAAAUUGUUAAACUUCAUGUGUCUCCUUUAUCUCCAAUGAGUUUGUAUCUCAGGACUUCCCAGGUUGAUAUUGAAAGUUUUCCUGCAGGGGUUAGUCCAACAAAAUAUCCCAAAUCUACUAUAGCAUACUAUCGGCUCAAAAAUCAACCUAGACACCAUGUCUAAUUUGAUUUAGAAGGGCAUUUUAACCUAAGCACCAUGCUUAAUUUAAAAUCCCUUGGAAGUAAGAUCAUCAUUCCUAAACUAAGCACUAUGCUUAAUUAAGAGAUAAAUGAAACUACUCCAAACCUAGACAUAUACUAAAGCAAAUAAAGGUGGCAUGAGAGCAAUUAUAGAGAUCCUACUCAAGUGGAGGUGAAGUAGUGUAAUUAGUAUUUAACAAAUUGAGCAUCUCUCAAAGGUAGGGACAACCAACAUAGCAACAUGGCGAAGGAUGUUUUUAUGUAAAGUACUCCCCCAAGCUUGAAUUUUACAAAAUUCAAGUUUGGAUGAAUUUAAUUCAAUGUUGCAUGAUGUUUGGUUGGACAUACCUUGUGCUUGUCAUUCAUCCGAUCUUCUUGCUCCUAUCCUAGAAAGGUUAGUGGCAAGAAUACCAGAAGGAAUAUUUCUACGAUUAUCUUUAUAUGCUCAAUAUACAGGGCAAUGUUGCAAAUAAUUAGAAGUUCAUGUUACGAUCUGAUCAGUGCUUGUUUUCGGACAUUAAGCUUAUCCUUGGGAAACCAUCAAGUUAUGUUGGUGAAGUGGUUUCCCCUCCAACGCUGACCUAUAUCAAGAUCAACUCAACAAGAUCUGCAAUAUUUAUUAUAGACAUAUGCAUCGACAACCGCCCUUUUAAAGUUUUUAUAAAUAGAAAGGAAGAGGGGGUUGGAGAUCUCAAAUGUGGUAAGGAUGGAGAGACUAAUUGAUUGGGGAGAUGUUUUAUAUGAGCGAGGUAAGAUAUUUAUGAAAUAACUUCCAUGCUCACUGUUGUUUCUCUUAUUCUCAAACUCCAAGGAUGAUUCUUCAUGAAUGCUUAAAAUUUCUCUAGGAUUGUCUCUCAAGUUUGUUUUAUCUAUCCAUUCAAUGGUGAUAGCACAAGGAUUUUUAAUGCCCUCUAGCCAUUGAUGUUGCUCUUCUCGAUCCUCCUUCUUAUGCAUGGGAUGUCUAGAGAGAUUCAUAGGAUUAUCGGGAGGUUCAAGAGAAAGAGCAUAGUAGAAACUAUUAAGCUUAAGGAUGGGAUGGAUAGCCGAAUCAUGGGAUUGUAAUGUUUGGAAAUUGGCUAUUGAAACUUCCUUUCCUCGUUUGGGAGAUGAUUCCUUCUCUAUCUCUAAGAUUUUUCUAUGAAGACUAGUACAAGAAGGAUCUCCAUGAAUGAAGACAUACCUUCCUUUACUAAUAGAUAAAGAAAGAAGGACUCUACCAAAGGUUAUAAGACCAAUGUGAAAAUAUCUAGGAAAAACAUGGUCUUGUAGGGCUAGGUCUAAACCAGAAUUUAUAGAAAGAUUAACAGAUUCCGUAGGUGUAGCUAAAAGUGCAUUAUCUUCUUGAUUAAAAGAUAGGACCUCGGCUAUAGAAAAGGGUUGGUUUUGACCUAUUGCAAUCAACUCCGGACACAGAUCAUAAUUAGGGGCAGGACGUGUUGACUCCCAUGGUCUAUGGCUGGUCUCCGAAGGUGCAAAGAAUUCAAUAAUAGGUAUGGAAUUUGAGUUAUCCAUAAAGAUAAAAAGAUAAAAGAAUAAAAGUAUAAAAGUAUAAUACAAGAUAAUAGCAAGAUUCAAAGUUAUCUCAGCAAACCGUCUUUCUCCCCGGCAACGGCGCCAGAAAUGCUUGUUGAUAUUUGGUAACGCAAUAAGGAAAUGAUCCGCAAGCGCACGGAUAUCGGUGAGCAUUUCACCCGGGAGGUUAUCCAGAGUUAUCAUAUUUAUAUUUUUACCACUGGGAGAAAGGGUGCAUCUGACUAACCAAAUCUAUUGCUACUACCCCUUUAGGCUACAAAGAAUGUCUCUCGAUGUGAGCGAUGUAUAGAGAAGACUGCAACCGUAGUCUCGUUCUAACCUUGGUAAGGAUGAUCUAUUGUUCUAUUGGGGAGGCUCACGGAAUCUAGACAACACAAAGGAUGUUUGACCCGCACCUAUAAACCUACCCGUCCUGCUAACGAGAUAUGAGAUACAAAGGUAACUCGGAAAUGUCACGUUCCUCGCUACUACCACGGUCCAGCUAGUCAGGGGAUAUCUAUGAGUACCCUAGCCUAAACACCACGUUUAUGCUAGCAAGUGAUUACUCUAAUACUCAACCGGAAGAGGAUUAAAGUAAACUCAUAAACCAAAGAACAAUAAAACAAGAACUUACUAGAAUUUAGAAGUCGAAUUACUGAAGAAUCUUAGAAGCAAGCCUCGGGUUAGGAGACUUGAUCCCGCAGGUACAACUCGGAGUAGACACCGACAAGCCGGCCUUCCUCUGAUCCACACCUCCACUCUAUCUCUCUCAAUCUAGUAGAAACUAGAAGAUCUAUUUCUACUUACAUUGGUUGCUAAGCCUAAAAAGAAAUAUUAUUUAGAGAAGAGGUUUUCCUUCGAGGGCACCCCUCAAUCUCUAUGAUAAUUUCUUGUCUUCUCCAGAAGCCAGGGGGGUUUCCUUAUAUAGUCCUCCUCCUCUAUGCAUUUUUGGUUCAGCAGGCGAUGUGGUACUAAACUUUCCACUAUAUCUCAUUAAAAUACACAUAGGCCUUCAUGGACCAAAAUCUGAUUUGGGCCCAAUUAAUCCCGCAGCUCUUUUAUGUGGAGUGCUUCUUUUAUUAAUAUCUCUUGAUUCCGAACUCCAAAUAUAGCAAAUAAUAUAUGCAUUUCGAUCAGCUCGACGAGAUCUUUGUAAUGGUGUACUCCAUUCUGGGAUUGGUGGAAACACCUGGGCGGGCACCGAAGGGGAGAGGGUGGGCGCCCUGCCCCCGGGCCCGUUCGGCCUCCCGUUCGUUCUCGUGGUUUCUGGAGUCUUCUAGAUGAUAGAAAAUUGCGCGGCACGUUAAUAUCUCUAUGUAAACCCGACAUGUGGGCCAUUCUUCCUUAUUUCUUGAUAACCCCCUGCAGAAAUAGACAAACACCAAAACUCGUGGAAUCCUGUCAGAUAAAACCCUAAGUCUAGGUGUUGAUUUCAUUUAGAUCCUUUUCUUUGUUUAUUUGAUAAUUAAAUUUGAUACUUAAGGACCGUCAACAAGCACUCCCCUUGAACUGAUCCCACACCGAAGUGUAGGGGUCACCCCGGGGAAACACCCAACGAAGGCGUGGGCUAGCUCCUAUCAUUCAAAACUGCAAAAGCAGCCCUGCUGGCACCCUAGAAAGGCGUGCUGCCUCGGGACUCAUACACCCAGCCACCCGAGGCGGGGUCACCGCCACUGGUAGGAAUCAUUGUCUCGAUCCCCACCAGGGUCCCGUCACCAAGCUGCUCUCAGCUCUAAUAGUAGCGAGGUUCCCUUCCUUCAGGAUACCCCAUCGAACUGAGCACCCUCCACAGCAAGGUAGGCAUCCCAAACUCUCCUAGGAACUUGCUCUUAUGACGCGAGCUCCUAGGUGCCAACUGAUGGUGAGGGGCCCGCCCACGAGUGGACUUGCGAGCGGUGAGCCUAGUGCGUGCCAUCUGCUAAAAAUAGGAUACCUUGGGUAAGACUGAGGAUUAUCUUCUAUCAUUUUAAAUAAAAUUGGGAAAGAUUUAAAUAAGGGGAGGAAUUAAGUAAUGAUAUGAAAUGAACAUGAUGCAUGCACGAAACAUACGAUCUCACAAACUUAGAAACAAAAGUCAGUACUAAUCGGUAUAUGCGGUGGCACAACACGUUCUCUCAUAACGUAACUAGCGUUCUAUGCGGGAACGUGGUUAGCGUACGUACAGAAAACUCAUUUCAGCCCAACCACAGUAUGAACAUAUAGAACAAAAAUUUAAAACUAUGCACCCCACACACACAGGUACCGCACCCAUGCAUGUGACGUGCCACUACCCACAUCAUCGCCCUAGUGACGGCAUCGCCUCUCUAGAUGGAAUCACCCCCACAUGUGGUACUGUUCCUAGGCACACUAGAUAUGCGUGCAUGACACAGCACCCUAAAGCCCUUCCCUAGAUCGACAGUGUAUCCGAUCAUGUUCUCACAGCUCUCACUUACCGAGGUGUAGGGGAAAAGUGAUCCAUACAUUACCACUCAAAUGAAUGGCACUCAUACUAUUACACGCCGUAGGAGCGACGAAAUGGAAAUAUGAUGCAUAACCCCCAAUCCAGUACUUAACUAGCCACCUUAGAGUCCUUAACUGGGCAUAAAGGAUAUGACCAUUGGCACACUGUGUAGUUUUCCAAAAACUCGUUUUAACACAUUGAUUAUCAUUAAUUGGCAAUUAACUUUUAUUAACCUGUUUAGGUUUGCUUUAGGACGUGCUUAUGAACAGUAAUCCGCUGAACCUUGCUCCGAAGCCAGCUGUAACAGAACCGCCCAAAUUAUAAGAGAUUAAGCCUGAUAGCGACCAUUUGCAUAGUCAACUUGCCAAGCUUAAGCCCAUAUAAUCCCGGUACCCCGUGAAAUCUCGAAGGAUUUCAAAUCACAUUUGUACAUACAGCCAAGAUCGUAACAAGUCCAGCCAUCACCAUCCACAAAUACAUUCAGUUCGCAACAUUCAUAGAUUACAUCGGAGUUCAAAUAUAGUUAUUACAAACCAAGUUCAAGAGUAGCGGAAGCAUUUCAGUUUUAAGAUAACACACACACUUAGUCGGAUACAGUGCCAUAGUUUGGUCAUUCCCACAAUAGCAAAAGAAGAGGUAGAGUGACCAUCACCCUUGGUCUAGUCAUCACCCAUUGCUGGGUACAAGCAGUGAAUGCAAUACCCGUAAUAUAUCUGCCCAUCUGCAAAAUCAACAUGAGAAUGGAACCCUGAGCACGAGAAUGUACUCAGCUAGACUUACCCGUCAUAAACCAAAAAUAGAAGACUCUUCAAGGAUUAUGAAGGCUGUAUAGUGGGGUAGCUGAACCCUUUUGGUGUAAAAGCAUUGAACCCUUUUAGCGUAAAAGCAUUAACCAUCUAGAAGUAUAUCUUGACAUCCCCUUUUCUUUUAUAUAGCUCAAGUUAGGUAUUAAUACCUACCAUCUAGAUUUGCACCUGUACUAUUGCAAACAAUUUGUUAGGAUAUGAUAAUAUCUUAUCAUAGCAUUCACAGUUCAUCAUUUAUCAUAACCCAAGUGUUUCAUAGUCCUUACUACGAGGACAGGGCUCAUGUCAAGUGCUCACUUUCCAGGAGCGAUGGCGAUUCGAAUCGAUUUCUAACCAGCUGGCGAGUUUAUUCCCCACACAAACCACACUCACUGAUCAAGUGAGCUACAGAUCACCAUAUUACAUUAUCUAGGACCAAUUUGCGGGUUCGACAGGCACCGCCUGUAUCCGAGGACCGUUCCGACUACUGAGGUAUCCAAGGUAUACCAAGGAUGCGCGCUGUGCCCUCGUCGUUCUCCUCAACCAGCACCAAUACAACGUGUACAUCGGGCCGAUUCCUGGCCCGGAUAGUGUUCAGGCUUCACGGUCGAAACGACUUAUCCUUCUAGCCAAGUGUGGGGCUUGCGGUCAACAUGACAAGAGGGCCGUCAACGAUCGGUUCUUAAUCGACGCAAGCAGGGGCACUACGGUCAACACCACCAUAAGACCCUGCCCGGUCUCAAAUUCAUUCCCACACUUGGUUACUUUUCACCAUAGCAUUGACAGCUUAUCAUUCAGGUAUCACCCGACUUCUACCGUGCUAAGCAAGCUAAGCAUAGACUCCGAGCCUAUCUACUUAGGACAAGGUAGAUAAACAGUGGUGAUAACAAGGAGUAAAAAUGCAUCAACGGUAUCAAGCAACUCCUAUCACUUAAUGCAACAUAGUAAAAACAACCAUGAUAUAAGUAUAUAACAAAUUAAGUUAGCGAGAAUAGGGAGACUAAGAAUGCUCUGGGGCUUGCCUCUCUUGAAGGUGCUAGGCCUAUGGUCCGGGCACUCCUGUAGAUCCCCUUCCGGCUCUAGUCCUUCUGGAAGUUCCUGCUCCUGUGUCACCUCCUUCUCCACGGGUCCCACCUCGUUCUCCUACGAGCCUGUAUGAUGCAUGUGUGCUCAUGAGUGGAGUGUAAGAUGCCUGAGGUGCAAUUCUUAUACAAAUUAGGACAACAUGAUCAUGGCAUGGUGUAUAGAUGAAACAUGAAACUAUUUCUACAAUGUAGUCAACAUCAUCCAAGAACAUGUAACCAAAGUAAAGCAUCUAUUGCAUUCUCUUCUACAAGUUAUUAUUCACCAGCAAGCUACCCUGAUGCUUCAAAGAUACACCAAACACAUUGCAUUCUAUUCAUCUCAUGCAUAACAAGGGUUUAAUUAAUUAAUUUAUUAUUAAACCUACAACAGUAGCCUAUACUUCUGUGCUUCAAUAAUUUCAACAAAAAUUACAGUAGUUACUGGUUACUUAUAAAGUUCAUCACCAAAUUUUUAUAACAUUUGGGCAGGUAACAUGGCCCACACAAAAAUCACAAAUUUAUUAGCAUAAUUAAGUGUAAAUACCCUACUGGUGAUAAAGUGUCAAACAACAGAUUUCGUAUUUUUAUAAACUGCUUCUUAACAUAAGAAAUGUCCACAAAAAUUUCCAGAUUAUGUGCAUGAUCGAAUUAUUUCUUAAAAAUCAUAAACCACUGCUAUGCAAGCAUUUAAAUCAUUAUAAAUUAAUCUAUACAGCAAAUAUUGUGCUACGUAUUUUUCACAGAGACUACACAUCCAUGCAAAGCUAACAAAACAAGAAUUACAAUUUUCUGAGUUGUAUUCUAUUUACUAUGCAUUUUCUAAAUAACAAUAAAAGCAUCAAAUAAAUAUUUUUACACAGAAAUUUGUACAAACAUAACAUGCAUAGGCACCAUAUUCUAGAUCUUGAUUAAUAGAACAUGUCAAACUUUAUUUCAACAUUUUUGGAGCUAUAGAUCUCAAGAUAUGGAUUUAAUAUGAUUUAAAUCAUUUUUGAGAAAUCAUUUUAUGAAAAUCCAUUUUAAAUCAGCCCCGAGUUCGGCUAGGUGCACCCAGUGCAGUGCACCCGCCCUCAACGCGAGCAUCCGAUAGGUGGACCACGGUCCCACGCGCCAGCCACCACAGAAGGGGGAAAGAACUCCAGCGAGCCGGAGCUCAUCGCCGGUGACCUCUUUCGGCGAACCGAGUGCUCGUACGCGUUCUACGGCUCAAGGCGAACCCGAUGAGCCCCUAUGCGCGACCUAGGACGGACCGGAGUGAGCUCGUCGCUGGCCAUGGUGGAAUGGUGGUGCUGCUCACCAUCGACCCGAGGCGCUGGCCCGGUAGAGCGCGUUUGGGAGGGUUUAGGAGCUUUCCGGUGGAGAGGCGAGCAAGAUGCGCUAGCUAGGAGGCGCAAAAAGGCAGGGUGGCGCGCUGGCCACACGCGCAGCACGGCGCUCUCGCUAGAGAAGAAGGCGAGGGCGAGCAGGGUCUCACCGUGCGUUACCAGGCGCUUGGAGGCGUGUCCCGCAAUGGAGAAGCGAGAGCGGAGAUCGGGGAAGGAGGAAUCGAAAAAAUGGCGCACGAGUUGAGGAAGAACGGUUGGAGCAGAGCUCGGGGCUCCAAUGGCGAUGGUGGUGCGAUGCGCGCGCGGAGCGGAGGCGAGAGAGCGAGAGAGAGAGCGAGGAGGCGCGCAUGGAGUGGAGGAGGGAGUGGCGAGUGCGCUGGCGCUGUCCACGGGCGGAGGGGGUAGUCGUGGCAUCGGCGGGCGCGCAUGCCGGCCACGCGGCGCCGCUGGCCUGACGCGGUCGGGCGCGCGCGACUCGGCCGUGUCUGAGCGCGGGAGGAGGGAGGGGACGCGGGCGCGGCAAGGCUGGGCCGGUUGGUUGGCGCCGGCCCGCCAGUGAACACCCCCCUCUUCCAUUUUUUUAAAUUCUUUUUCCCAAAAGCUUAAAUGCAACUUUUGAAGCCAUUGCAAAGUUUUUCAGGAGUUGAGGUAAAAAGAAGAAAUAUUCCCCACAAAAUACUUUACCACUUUGUUUUAAGGUGCAUGUCUAAAUUCCAAAUAUAAUUUGAAUCACAAAUUAAAACUAGUGUUAGGUCUUUAAAUAAAUCUAUUUUGGAAAAUUUGUAUAAAAUAUAUUUCUCAAAUCCUAGAGAUCCAAAAAUGUCACACAAUUAUUCUUAAUUCUUCUAAAGCAUAAUUCAAUUUAUUUUGGUCACCACAAGCAUUUUUGAAGUAAGCAUACUAAUUUAUUAUACUUAAAUUCAUUUAAAUCAAGCACAUAAAAUCACACUUAAAAUGUUACUUAUGCUCAUGUGAUGCUAUGCUUAUGCUUGACAAGAGUGCUUAUGAGUAGUGUAUGAGACUAAAUGCAUGCUUAACACCUAGGGUGCUACAGACUCGUCCCUCUGAAGUCAUUGGAUCAGAUCUAAUCGGUGCAGAUUGCUCAUUAGCUAAACCCAAUGUGCUUGGAGGGGAAGUAACCUCUGUACUCGCAACGGCUGAAGGAGCCGAUGGAGCCGUGACUGUUGACAAUCCUGGCUGAUGAUAAGCCGGGCCAACAUAGAGUGGUGGUGACUGUCCUUCUUUAAAAGUUUGGACCACAGCAUUAUAAACAGUAUUGGAUAGCACAUUGGAGUGAUUGAUCAAAGCACGAUUAAUAUCAUUAUUAACCUUGUCUUGCAAUUUACGAGGAUUGGAAUCAAAGGUAACCUGCAUCGGCAGAUCUUGCUUCUGGAUAACUUCCCCGCUCCUGUUCAUGCUGAAGGAUUUUAGACAAAGUUGUUUGUAUUCCUCCAUAGCCCUCUCCAUAGCUUGCUUCUAUUCUCCGUGUCGAGCUUAGAAGUAGCCAUGCCGAUCUUGUUGAUAAUAUUUGUCCCACUGAGCGUGCCAAAUGAUGUGUUGAUGCAAAAUAGAUCUGUAAACACAAAGGGCUAAUACCCAAUUCUAAUGUUGAGGCGUGCCAGUCGAUUUGACCUCACAAUCGACAAAGGUGAUAACUUGAAUACUUUGGUCCUGACAACAGCGAUGCGCCCAGAUGUCAUGGCCAAGAGGUACUCACGCGGAACUCGAGAAUUCGUCGAGUAUUGCUCGUUGAAUCCCUAAAAACUCGUAGACAAAAGAAAGUGUGCGAGUUGACGAAGUUGUCAAAAAAGUAGAUGUAAAAAAAGAUGUAAAACUUGUGUAUGAUAUUGAUUGAUUGUCCUUCUUACAUUGCUGCUAGGUCUACAUUUAUACCCUGACCUAAAGAGUUACAAUCGUAUAUGACUAGGAUUUAAUUCUAAACAAAACAAGACACUUACAAAAGGCAUACUUUAAUAAAUAUGGAAAACAACCACCUAUCUACUCCGGUGUAUGCUUCAUCGGCAUAUCCUUGUUGCCUCCUUAGCAACUUCAACGCCUCCCUUCAUCGGCACCGGCCUACUCGCUAUAGCCUCCUCAACAACUUCCACACCUUUCUUCAUCGGUAUCAGCGAUCAUCGGCAUUGGCGAUCAAUCGGCAAUGAUCAGUAACCACCAUCUUGACCCUUAGGCCAGCAACAUCCUCCACCUAUCAUCCUGUCAUCGGCAUCAUCGGCUAUCGGCAAUCUUCUUAUCACCUUGAUACAACAUUUUCCUAACUGCCGAUCAGUUCUUCCUAACCAUCUUGACUUGUGCCUAAAAACAGUGUCAACACCAAUAUUAUUGCUCAGUAUGGUGCCUUCGUUGAUGAUGCAGUGGGGGCAGAUGAUGAAGAGGAUGCGGCAGCAGCAGAAGAUGUGGCAGUUCAUGCUAAUGCUCUUAGUGAUGCCAUUUGCGAUGCACAAAGAGAUUGUGAAUGUGAGAAGGAGAAGGCCAAGUUCGAGCGUGUGCUAGAGGAUCACAAGAAAUUGCUAUAUCCGACCGCUAAAGAUGGGCAAAAAAAGCUACGUACAACACUUGAACUACUUCGAUGAAAGGCAAAGAAUGCUACAUCCGACAAGUCAUUUGGGCAGUUAUUGAAGAUCAUGAAAAAGAUGCUUCCGAGGGCAAACGAAUUGCCCACCACUACGUACGAAGAAAAGACAGUUGUCUGCCCUUUGGGAUUAGAAAUCUAGAAGAUACACGCAUGUCCUAAUGACUACAUCUUGUACCAUGGUGAGGAAUACGAGAAUUUGGAUGCAUGCUAUUGACGGUCCUUAAGUACCAAAUACAAUCAUCAAAUAAAUAAAGAAAAGGAUCCAAAUGCAACCAACACCCAGACUUAGGGUUUUAUCUGAUAGAAUUCCACGAGUUUUGGUGUUUAUCUAUUUCUGCAGGGGGUUAUGAGGAAAUAUGGAGGAAAGGCCCACAUGUCGGGUUUACAUAGAGAUAUUAACGUGUCCCGCCCUCUCCCGUUGGGCGCCCGCCCAGGUGUCUCAGCCAAUCAGGCUGAGUCUCAUGGAUCAUGCUCCACCGACCUAAAGGAUUAAGGAAAACCGUGCGAUUAAGGUCGGUUUGAUCCGACGGCCCAUAUUCAUUUGGAGGGGCUAUAUAAGCAGGCCCCAUGGCCCCUAGAGGAGGGCAAUCCCAUUAUUCAUUAGCAUAUUUUCUAGAGAGGAUUCAGAGAGAGAUGUCCCUCUAGGGUUCCAACCUCAUAGGGCUUAGCAUCCAAUGUGAGAUUAGAAUUAGUUCUUCUAGAUUGAGAGAGAUAGAGUGGAGGUGUAGAUCGGAGGAAGCCCGACCUGUCAGUGUCUACUCCGAGGUUGUACCUUAAGGUAACACCUUAAGGUACUUGAAUAUCACUUUUAUAAGCUUCUCCUUGGUUCUCGCAUACACAUAAAUAAAAGAGACAAACAUGUAUGAUUUGUAGCUCCAAAUUAACCAACCCAAUUAAUUCAACAUGUUUAGUCCUUUAAUAUUUGUUCUUAGUACUACCUUCGUGAUCCCACACUCCUAAUCAUAUAAGCUAAAAUGUUGCACAUUCAAUCUUUGGAAGAUAUAAAAAAACAUAAAUAUAGAUAGAUUAUCUUUCUAUUAGGUCGAGCGAUCUCAUCUAACAAAUGUUUUAAAUGCUACACUCAUGAUCUUAUUAUCCAUCAACUUUGUCUUGCUCACUAUGCUUAAGGUUAGAGAAGAAAAAAUACACUUUUGGUUCUAUUGGUGUUUUUCACCAACAGGGCCCAUGCACUUGAUCUCUGCCUUGUCUCUAUGAGCAGGUACACUUCGACCAAAACUUGAAGGAGUUUUACAACUCCCAGAUUCCACCAAGUGAAAGACAUGGAUCUACGAGCGCAAACACACUGAGCAGGAUAAUGCCAAUGCCGCACCUCGAACUGCUGGACAAACGAAGAACAUGGGUCACACCGUAUCAAGAGGUGCAGAUGUCAAGGCCUACACCUAAUCAAAUGAUGCACCUAAAGGAUGAACACGGUGAGAAGUCUUAAAACAUUGGAUCCUUGCUGGAAGGUAAAAUCAGUAUUUAUCCAUAUUUAUCUUUUCUGCAUUCCUUUUCCUUUUUAUUCCAUCACUUGCAUUAGCAUAUUUACUUUUCCACAUUAGCAUUAGAAAAGAAAACAAAAAUAUUUGUUCGUUGCACUGCAUCAUAAAAUCUAAAGCCCCAUGUGAGUAGACUUGUGGUUUAAAACCCAUAGGUAUAUUGACUGUGGUGGCAUAAAAUAAAUAUGUUUUCAUCUUACAAUAAAAAUAUAAAAAUAAUAAAUGCAUGAUCCUGCUAAAUAAAUAAAAUUUAUUAGGAGGAAUCUCAAUGUGAUAAAGGCUAACACUUAACCAGUUCCACAAAGCUUUGUUGUCUAUUUGAGCUCUACAGAAUUCAAGGAUCAAAGAAGACUAGCCGGUGGAGGACAUAGUAAUCGCUGUCAGGGUGCUGCCGACAUUCAAAUACACCUCCGUCACCUGCUAGCUACGUCAGAAGAAAUUACGUCAAAAUCCAGCUUGGGGGAGAGCACCCCCAUUUAUCCAGUUAAGUGUUUCAACUCGCGUUUAUACUUUACUCAAAUAAUAAAAAGAUGCAUAAUCACGAAAACCCAAAUAAAAAUUUUGUGCUUAUAUAUAUCUUUGCUUAGUUUGCUAAAUAAAUAAAUAAAGUGUCUAGGCCAAACUGAACUUAAAUGAUAAACUCUUACAUGGAUAUGAUAAAAGUUCCUCUGCCAUGUACCUAGUUUUCAUGUUUGAGCUCUCUCUCAAGUUUAGAAAUAACUGUUAAAAUUUAAACCUGCUCUAAAGCUAAACUUGUGGGAAGAGUACUUGAUCUAAAGUCUAAGUCGUUAACGGAUACGAUAUGGAAAUGUUGAGCUGUUGUUUAUCUGUUCCUAGAGUUGCUAGAAUUCUAGAGAAUAUUAUCUUUGAAAAUCUUUAAAAUAUUGCAUGAUGAGUUCCUGUAUGAUAAGAGUUUAAAUUCCUACCACAACCAUACAUCCAUGCUUAUUAGACUAAGAACCAUACAUUUACUUUUCACUACUUAUGAGCAUUGAGUGUGGUCAAGCUGUGUAGACCCUUAGGAGCUUGUCAUGCGGUUAAAAUCAAGAUCCACUUGCACGUUCACUCACACAUGCUACUUCUACACCGGAAGUACGCAUCCACAUACAUCCACUCAAUUCCAUCUCCAGAUUCACCUAAAAUUAUUCUACUCCUAUCCGGGAGAGAAUAGCCAAAAACUUUUCCUAUCCAUGUUAUUCCCUGUGAAAUAAUGCUCGAGAUAUUUUGGUUACUACCACUUGCUAUAUUAUUCUAGGAGGAUGAGUGCUCUGAAAAAAAGGAAAAAUAUGAGGAAAUAAAAAGGGGCAAGUGCCCGGAACCUUGAAGAAAAGAAAAAGUGAGACGAGAGGUAAAAAUGGACAAGUGUCCGACAGUAGAAUUAGGGGUACAAGAUACCCACCUGAGAGAAAAGAAAAAAAUAUAUAGAGCAUCUCAUUCUCCUCAAAAAAGCUUCAAAGUGCAAGAAAGGUAUGUAUCCUCUGAAAAGAGCAAAAGUAGAAUUAGACUUUCACCAUUGUUAUCACCAUCAUCACCAUACACCAUUCACUCGCCACACAUGCACAUCUUGAUUUGACUUAUUGACUUGUUCUUCUGGAUCCAUGGUUUGACUAUGCAAUAAAUGUCUUGUAAGUAUGUAUUAUCUGUCUCCCACCUAUGAGCUCCAGAUAUCAAAACCUUAUUAGAGUAGGGUGAGAGAGAAGGCAAUAUCACUAUGCCUCAUACCAAAAAUACCACAUACUUUGACAGAAGGCAUAUACCAUUACUGCCUUAGAAAUGAUCCAGAAAUACCACAAAAGAGAGAUUUGAGAGAGUCAUACAAGGAAUCUCUGAGUUUUAUUUGAAAAUCUGCAAAAACUCCAGAGCUAUAGUUGAUCAAAGAACAAGAGACAUGGCGCUUGACUAGACUGUUCUAUCUUUUAACUACUCAAGACACAAGUGACGGUUGCAAGCCCCAUGGUGAAAGGUAAAAUGAGUAAGUUUUAAGUCUUAACAGUUUACUCUAACUCAGAGAUGAGAUCUUGCUUGAACGCAUGUGUAUUUUUAAGGCAUGAAACCACUGCAGAAACACUUGAGUCCAUCCUUGCUCAGGGACGAGCAAGAGGUAAGCUUGGGGGAGUUUGUUGACGGUCCUUAAGUACCAAAUAUAAUCAUCAAAUAAAUAAAGAAAAGGAUCCAAAUGCAACCAACACCCAGACUUAGGGUUUUAUCUGACAAAAUUCUACGAGUUUUGGUGUUUGUCUAUUUCUGUAGGGGGUUAUUAGGAAAUAUGGAGGAAAGGCCCACAUGUCGGGUUUACAUAGAGAUAUUAACGUGACGCACAAUUUUCUAUCAUCUACAACACUCUAGAAGCCACAGGAACAAACGGGAGGCCAAGUGGGACCCAGGGCAGGGCGCCCGCCCUCCACCCUUGGGUGCCCGCCCAGGUGUCUGAGCCAAUCAGGCUGAGUCUCGUGGAUCAUGCUCCACCGACCUAAAGGAUUAAGGAAAACUGUGCGAUUAAGGUCGGUUUGAUCCGACGGCCCAUAUUCAUUUGGAGGGGCUAUAUAAGCAGGCGCCCUGGCCCCUGGAGGAGGGCAAUUCCAUUAUUCAUUAGCAUAUUUUCCAAAGAGGAUUCAGAGAGAGAGGUCUCUCUAGGGUUCCAACCUCAUAGGGCUUAGCAUCCAAUGUGAGAUUAGAAUUAGUUCUUCAAGAUUGAGAGAGAUAGAGUGGAGUUGUAGAUUGGAGGAAGCCCGGCCUAUCGGUGUCUACUCCGAGGUUGUACCUGCGGGAUCAAGUCUGCUAACCUGAGGCUUGCUCCUAGGAUUCUUCAGUAUUUCGACUUCUAAAUUCUAGUAAGUUCUUUGUUCUUCUUGUUCUUUGGUUUAUGAGUUUACUUUAAUCUCUUCCAGUUGAGUUUGGAGUAAUCAUUGCUAGCGUAAACGUGGUGUUUGGGUUAGGGUACUCAUAGAUAUCCCCAGUCUAGCCAGACCGUGGUAGUAACGAGGAACGUGACAUUUCCAUAGCUACCUUUGUAGCCCACAAUCCCGUUAGUAUGAUCGGUAGGGUUUAUAGGUGCGGGUCGAACAUCCUUUGUGGUGUCUAGAUUCCGUAAGCCUCCCCAAUAGAACAGUAGAUCAUCCUUGCCAAGGUUAGAAUAAGAGUGCGGUUGUAGUCUUCUCUAUACAUCACUCACAUCAAAUCACAUUGUUUGUAGCCUAAAGGGUAGUAGCAAUAGAUUUGGUUAGUCAGAUGCACGCUUUCUCCUAGUGGUAAAAAUAUAAAUACGAUACUCUAGAUAACCUCCUGGGUGAAGUGCUCACCGAUAUCCAUGCGCUUGCGGAUCAUUUCCUAAUGGCGUUAACAAAUAUCAACACAUGCUCGGUAUGCAAAGCAUCGCGGUAUAAGAUCAAGCGAGAUGAUCCUGGUGAUGUAGAGGGUGAAGAACGUCCCAGCCGGAAGAAAAUCCCUGCCAAGGUUAUGUGGUAUGCUCCUAUAAUACCACGCUUGAAACGUUUGUUUAGAAAUAAAGACAAUGCAAAGUUGUUGCGGUGGCAUAAAGAAGACCAUAAGGUAGACAAUAUGCUCAGGCAUCCAGCUAAUGGAUCACAGUGGAGAGCGAUAGACAGAGAAUUCCAAGAGUUUGCACAUGAGGCUAGAAACUUGAUGUUCGCUUUAAGUAUGGAUGGUUUAAUCCUUUCGGGGAGCAGAGCAGCAGUCAUAGCACUUGGCCAGUCACUCUCUACAUCUACAACCUUCCUCCAUGGUUAUGCAUGAAGCAGAAGUUCAUUAUGAUGCCUGUGCCCAUCCAAGGGCCGAAGCAACCUAGCAACGACAUCGAUGUGUACCUGAGGCCAUUAGUUGAGGAACUUCUUCUUCUAUGGAGCAAGCCAGGUGUACGCGUGUGGGACAAGUACAAACAGGAACACUUUGACCUACGAGCAUUGUUGUUCAUCAUAAUUAAUGACUGGCCUGCUCUAAGUAAUCUUUUAGGCUAGACAAACAAGAGAUACAAUGCAUGGACACACUGUUUCGAAGACCUUGAUAGUAUAUUUUUGAAAAAAUGUCGAAAGAUCAUGUACAUUGGCCACCGUCGGUUUCUUCCUCUGGGCUACCUAGUAAGAAAGAAACACAAACAUUUUAAAGGCAUGGCAGACCAUCGGACUAAGCCUCGUAACCGAACUAGGGAUGAUAUACUCGAAAUGGUGAAGGAUAUGAAAGUAGUUGUCGGUGUUUUCCCCACGGGAGGUCACACCAACGAGUGAAUUUGUAUGCGUGCUUCCCUUUCCCAGAUGGUGAUGCAAAAAGGCACAAGGAUUUAUCCUAGUUCGGGCAAGAGAAGGCCCUACGUCCAGCGGGGGGAGAUAGUUUGUAUUAUUUUGCACCUAAGUGCUUGUACAGGGGCGAAUACAAGCGUGGUAUGGAGUAUGGGAGUUCUACUGCGUAUGAGCGUGGUGUUGCCUUGUUCCUCAUGUCCUGUGUUCACUCCCAGGUCUCCCCUUUUAUAGUUCCAAGGAGAGACCUAGGGUACAUAUAUAGGUGACAGACUAGGGGUCAAUAGAGGCCUGGCGCGCUGACCUACUCGAGGCUUCCGUACUGGCGUGGUCUCGAGCCGUCCCAUCCUGGUAGCUUGAUGAUGAUUACGUGUGCCCUUAUAUCCCACUCUGUAUGCCGUCUUGGACUGGUUUGUCCGUUGCACGCCUAUACGUCACGGCAGCUGAUACGUCGGAGUGGUGGCAGUGCCGUCAGUCGAUGCCCAACCCUUCCCCAGGAAGGAAGCAUGUCUGGUCGAGGGUCGGACGCCAGGUAGCGCCUUGCUAUCCAGAGUAUUGACUUUUGGAGUCUCGAGGGGGUCCUGACUAGACGUUCCAUCCCUGCUUCCUGCGUCCUGACAGGCUCUGGGUCGUUUGGAGGGGAAGGCUGCAAAAAGAAUGACGAGACGGAUGCCUGUUCCCCAUCACGCUUCCCGUGACUGGCGUGUUAGGUGGGAAUGCGACAGGCGCAUUAAAUGCUCUGGCUCCCGUGCGCGUGUCAGGCGGCGGGCGGCGUCCUGGCGCUCGACGCCCGCCGAUUCGCUCGAGCCUGUUUCCGUAUUCGACGGUAGUUGGCGCUCGAGCCCUGCUUGAUUCGCUCGACGCCCUUUCCGUCUUCAAGGCUGAGGUCGUCGAUGACUAUAUGCGUGAUUGUGUAGAGCGUCGAGUUGGGGAUCUCGACUUUCGUACGGACGAUCUCGUUAUGUACAUCAGUUGGGAUACCCGUUAGGCGGCGCAUUUAUGGGGGGUGUUACCUCUUUUAUCGGGUCUGUCUGUUGGUGGACCGCGGCCUAUAAUUAUCCCAUUGCAUCGCCGGCGUUCUUCCUUCCACCUUCCACCCUGUUGUCUUUUGCUUUCUUGCUGUCUAAGUUCUCUUGCCAUCUUACGCGCGCGCACCCCCUCAAGCAGUAGCGAAUCCGCCAUCCUUCCGGCCAAGAUGCCUGUGAGACUCGUCGCCGCCGACGACUGGCGCCCGUCGUCGAUGACGGAGCACCGGUUGCUGGAGCUUGAGAGGGAGGGACUCCUGCGCCACCGCACCUCCCUGUCGUCGCCGGAGUGGAUCGCGCUGCAAGCGGACCACAGGGAUACCAGGCCGCCCAAGGGCUACGUAGUGUCGUUUGCCAAGUUCCACUGCCACGGCCUGGGCGCUCCUCCGAGCCGCUUCAUGCGGGCGAUCUGCCUCCAUUACGGGGUGGAGCUCCAGCACUUCUCCCCAAACGCUAUCACCGUCGCGGCGGUCUUCGCUGUGGUGUGUGAGGGCUACUUGGGGAUGAUGCCCCACUGGGAGCUGUGGCUCCACCUCUAUAGGGGCGAGCUCUUCAAUGCCCCCACCGAGACCACCGGCGUGAGGAAGCCUGUGCAGGCAGGAUGCCUCAACCUCGUGCUGAAGACGGGGAAGACGGAGAGGCCGCGCGAGUACAUCCCGGUGGGAUUGUCGACGAACCACGCCGGAUGGGACUCCUAGUGGUCCUACUUGAGGAACGACGACAAUCUCCUACCCACCUACACCGGGCGUCUCAUCACGGAGCGUCCAGAGAACUGGACGUACGGCGUCAUUCAAGCUCAUCAGUCUCGGCUCGACCCCCUCCUCGACGCCAUGAAGAAGCUGUGCUUGGAAGGCUUGAUCGCCGCUCUCGUCCUCUCGGCCGUCCAUCACCGGAGAGUUCUCCCAUUGAUGUCUCGGCCGCUGAGGAUGGACGGGAUGGGCCCUAGCGUUUUGUCUCAGGACCUUGAGGCAUGCCGGAUGUCCAACGAGGCUCCGGCGGAUGACGAAGUCGCGGCCCGGGUCAGGGCCGCCAUUGCCGGUGAUUUUAAGCCGGAGCACCUUAACGGCUUCCCCAUGAGGCCUGAUGCGGGCUCGAUCGAUCUGGUAUGCUCUCUUCUCGUGCACAGCUUCGAUUCUAGAUUUCUUUCUACCCCUUUUCUGAGCCUACCUUUGUUCUGGCUGGGACGGAUUGAUGUCCGGUCCUCGAGGCCUCCAGUAAAGGAGGACGAGGUCGACUGUGACGCACGGCGCCGGUCCGCCGAGAAGCAAAAGUCCGUCAAGGACUCUGUGAAGAAGGGGGAGAAGAAAAAGAACCUCGACCGUCAAGCGUUAGAGGCGCGUCGAGCCAAGUCCAGGCAGAGGGGGGAGCCUGAAGAAGAAUCCCCUAGUGAAGAUGAUGGCGGGGACGGUGAUGACGACAGCAACGAUUCCGAGGGUAUGGCGUCUCGCCUCGACCGGAUCCUCAAGGAUCCGUCUCGAGGCGACGUCGACGCCCCGCGGAUGGGAGCGCCAAAGGAGGGGCCAGGCGGAUCUCACUGCCCCCACGCUUACACCCCUCCUGCGCCCGCGACCAGUCAGGCCGCCCCGCGCCCCCAACCUCCCCCUGCACCAAAGGCGGGUGGCCAAGCUAAGCCCCAGGUGACGGGGCCGCUGACCCACGGUCGCGCCGCGGCCUCCGAGAAGGGAGAGACCGGCCGCAGGAGCGCCAGUCUCGGCGCCCGCCAGGCGGGAGUUACUGGGCCAAGGCCAGCGCCUGCCCUCGAGGGGUCCGGGGCCUUAACGCGGGGUGGUUCGAGGCCCACCGGUCGAGGUACCGGUAGGCGUGCCGUUCUCCCUGUGGGGUAAGUCCUUCGACGCUGUGGUUCUUAUUUUCCUAAUUCUUCAUGUUUUCUCGUAUAACGGUCUUCUUUAUGCCUGUCCCUCUUUCCUCAGGUUAAAGCGGACGCUUGAGCAGGCCCAGCCUUCGAUGGCAAAACAGCUCAAGGUGGGAGCGGCCUCCAAGGACAUAGGUUAGCAGCUUAUUCAUGGGAUUUGUGUCAUCCUUACGUUGGUCAUUAUAGCGGCUGACCUUUGUUUUUUGUUUUACAGGUUCCUCCGACCCUCAGCUGCCGACUGGCACCGAGAGCGCCCCACCUCGUCCCCCGACGGGUGAUCCUGCCCCGUUGUCGCCAAAACAAACCGAGGCACCCCGGCCCCGAGGGCAGGAAGGAGCCCCCGAGCCUCCCCGAUCGGGGGUCGAGGGGGAUCCCAUUACCAUUAGUGAUGGUUCUGGCGGCAACGGGACCUCGAGGGACGCCCAUCCUAUGGACGAGGAGGCCCAGACUUCUCUCGUCGUGGGACGGAUGCCCUGGCCUACCGGGCUUCGCUCCAUCGAGGAGCAGAAGAAGAAAGAAGAGGAGGAGCACGAGCAGGAGACGCGGCGGCAGCUGCAGGAGCAGGACCGCUGAUAAGAGCCGCAGGAGCUCGAGGAGCAACAGCAGCAGCAGCAUGGGGGCCAAGAAGAAAGACCGCUCGAGCCCCCGCCUCACAGUCCGCCCCAACCAGUACCACCGACGCCGCAAGAGCCCGGAGACCAGGAAGAGGGUUUGCCAGUUUUCGGCCCUCCAACCCCGGCGUGGCUCCGUCUAGGGGCACCCGCCGCGAUCUCGGCAGAGUCGGGGCGGGCAGACGGUGUGGUGGCGCUUGCCUGCAUGAUGCGCACCCCCGUCGACCCCGAGUCCGAGAUCAGGAGGACGAUCUACGGCAUGGACCGAAUUGCCCCAGGGUUCCUCCGGGAGCGUCGGGCGUGGGAGGUCCGCAUUCCCGCCGAGGAGGAUGAGGGUGGGACGUCGGGUAGUAAAGAUGGCACCUAGAAGACGGUGGAUGACGACGGGCGGUUCCCCUCCCUCGUCGACUUGUUCCUGCGCCAUGGGGGGUCCCUCGAGACCGUCGAGGACCUCAUUCGCGGCGUCAAGGCUUCCACUGAUCCGUCUGAGCCCAACAUCUUCCUGGACGAUCGGAAGGAGGCUGAGAAGUGGGAGCACGUUGAGGUGCUCCGCCUCUGGAUGAAGCACAUGGUGGGGCUCCUGUCAGACGUUGUAAACAACAGGCUGAGGCCAGCCUACAUUGUAAGUCUCCUAGCCUUUUAAUCUUUAGGGCGUUUGUUGGUUUUGGGUUCUAACUGCUCGAUCACCGGUUCACAGGAUUUGAAAGAGACCUCCCGUAUUAAGUCAAGCUUCAUUCACGCCACGAGGGGCGGCUGGGAGCAGCUCCCCCUCCUCAAAGACCAACUCCUGGAGUCGCAGGAGAAACGCCUCCAAGCCUAUAAAGAUCUCUUGGCGCUCGAGGAGGAGAAGAAGGAGAGGGAGGCUGCCCUGGCCGAGGCUCGAGAGGCCUCGAAGAAGGCUGUGGAAGAUGCCGUGCUGCUGAGGGAGCGGGCUCUGACGGUCGAGGAGGCUGCGUCCAAAGCCCGGGAGAAGGCCCUGUCCUACAAGAACGUCGUUGCUGAUCUGGACAAGGAGAAGGGCCUCCUCAAGACUGACUUGGACUCCCUUCGAGAAUCCUUCCAAAGGAUGAAGGUGGAGCAUGUGAAUGGCGAGAUCGCCAGGGGCGCCACGGAGGAAGCCAAGAAGAAGGCCCUCGAAGACCUCGAGGCGGAGCGGACUUGAUCUAGCAGGCUCUCUAACGACGUCGAACGUCUGAAGGGAUAGCUGUUGGAGAAGAGUGGAGCCAUUGCUCAGGCUGGCAAGGCGAUCGAGGAUCUUUGUGUUGCCAACACUGAGUUGGCGCGCUCCAACAAAGAGAUCGAGAGGGCCAACACCAAAUUAGUUGGCGAGAACACGGCCUUGGAGGAGAGUGUCCGUGGUACGUUUCUAUUGUCAGAUUUCUUUUCGAGGUGUGCUCGGUUUUAUCUAAAUUUUUUUGCGUUGGCAUUCACAGGGCUUAAAGACGAGCUCUUGGCCGCCCAAGUCGAGGCUCACAAUGCCCAGGCCCAGCUCGAGGGGGAGGUUGCUUUGAACCGUCAACUGCGGAUGGCGAUAAGCGAUCUCUCGACCUCUUGGGAAGUUGAGCCCUUGGACGAGUCGAAGGAGGAGGCUCGAGGCGACGCGCUGGUCGAUCAGCUGUGCUACUUAGGCGCGACGCUGAGAGAUCGGGUGCGUGACGCUCUCCAUAUCGGGGUAAAGCGGGCAAUGGCGGUUGUCUGCUCGGGCUUUUCCUACGAUAUGGAGGUGGUAUCUCAUGGCUUUGUUACCGAUAUCUCCAAGACUGACGCGGAGAACGAGGAGAGGCUUCAUGCCUUGAUCGACGACGUGGAGGUUCCUGGAGAUAGGCUGGCCAAGCUAUUUGAGCCCGAGGUGCUUCCCCCUGAGACUAGCUCAGGCGUAGGCGAGGGUGGUGAGGACCAUGCUGUGGACUAAGGCCUGCGAGCCUGCUCUAGGUGCCUGGGGCCCCUUGUAUAGUACUGUGUUAACUUGUCUUUAAGUAAUACAAUGUCUUUAAGUGGUUUGUUAAAUGUUUGUCUGUCUUUCCUCUCGAAGCUCCUUUAUUCCUUUUUGCGCCUAUGUUUGUUUUUCUCACUUGGUCUUUUGUUCGAGGCGGUCUCGAUUACCUCAAGGGUGAGGAGACGAGUAGAGUUUCCAUAGCCCGGGGGCGUAGGAGUUCUCAGGCUCGUUGUUUUUCGGUCCUUAAGGGGCUCGAGGUACCUUUACUACUCAACUGUAUGAGAUUGCCGAUAGAAACAAAAGGAUUACUUGGUUUUUUCGACACUUGGGGGGGUCACCCCCCUUGCUAGCCCCCGAGGGGGUGUCGACUAUGAUGGGUCAUAGUCGAUACUCCCUUCUAACGUUGAGACUUUUGAAAACGUAAGUCGCUCGAGGAAAAAACUUUAUUUAUUCAUUUAUUCAUUUACAAGGCCUUGGUACAGAAUGUACGCAGGAACAUAAAGCUUUGAAAUUCUAGGGGUAGAAUCGACAUAGCUGUUCGAUGUUCCACGCGUUGGUGAAGAUCGCCCCCUUUUCGUCCGCUAGCUUGUAUGUCCCUGGCUUCAAGACCUCGGCCACCACGUAUGGGCUCUCCCAAGGUGGAGUCAACUUGUGGCGUCCUUGAUUGCUUUGCCGUCGUCGUAGGACAAGGUCGCCCACGUUUAAGUCCCUCUUGCGCACGUGUUUGUCGUGGUAGCGUCGAAGUUUCUGCUGGUAUCUGGCAGAGUUGAGGAGGGCCAUGUCUCGAGCCUCCUCGAGUUGGUCGACCGCGUUUUCUCGAGUCUCCUUAUUUGAUUGUUCGUUGUAUGCUUUAAGCCGAGGGGAUCCAUACUCGAGGUCCGUUGGGAUCACAGCCUCAGAGCCAUAGACCAUGAAGAAUGGGGUGUAUUUUGUGGCCCUGCUUGUCGUUGUCCUUCGGCUCCAUAGGACUGAGGAAAGUUCCUCGACCCAUUUCUUGCCGAAUUUCUUCAAGCGAUUGUAGAUCCUUGGUUUGAGCCCUUGCAAAAUCAUGCCGUUGGCACGCUCGACCUGGCCGUUAGUUCGAGGGUGGGCCACUGCAGACCAGUUCACCCGAAUGUGAUGGUGAUCGCAGAAGUCCAAGAACUUUUUGCCGGUGAACUGAGUGCCGUUGUCAGUGAUGAUGACGUUGGGAAUCCCAAACCGGUGGAUGAUGUCGGUGAAGAAAAGGACAGCCUGCUCGGAGCGGAUGUUGGUAAUGGGUCGAGCCUCGAGCCAUUUGGAGAAUUUGUCGAUGGCCACCAACAAGUGGGUAUACCCCCCUUUUGCCUUUUGUAGAGGCCCUACUAAGUCUAGCCCCCACACCGCAAACGGCCAUGUGAUGGGGAUCAUCUGAAGAGCAUGGGUGGGCAGAUGUGUCUGUUUGGAGUAGAACUGACACCCAUGGCAUGAGCGCACGAGCUCGAUGGCAUCAGCUACGGCCGUUGGCCAGUAGAAGCCUUGUCGGAAGGCGUUCCCUACGAGGGUCCGUGGAGCAGCAUGGUGGCCACAAGCCCCCGAUUGUAGGUCCUCGAGGAGUUUCCGGCCUUCUUCCACGGUGAUGCAACGUUGCAAGACCCCCGUCGGGCUUCGUCGAUGUAGCUCAUUGUCCUCGCCGUAGAUUACAUAUGUCUUGGCUCAUCGAGCGAUACGGUGGGCCUCGGAUCGAUCUUCUGGCAACUCGCAGCGGAUUAGGCAGUCGAGGAACGGCGUGCGCCAGUCAAACGGUCGACCGGGCUGCUGUUCCACCUCCAUUACUUCAGCCGCCAUUAGUAGCGCUUCGACGUUGUCGGCCUGCUGGGCUGGAGCAGCUUCGACACCAGCCCCCGAGCCCAAGUCGACGGAUGGCUCAUGUAGAUCUCUUGAGAACGCGUCGUGCGGGAUCCUGCCUCGAGUCGACGCGAUCUUGGCGAGUUCGUCGGCUGCCUCGUUGUAGCGUCGGGCGACAUGGAUGAGCUCGAGGCCGUGGAACUUGUCCUCGAGUCGACGGACCUCCUUGCAGUACGCCUCCAUUUUCAGGUCGUGGCAGUUCGAGGCUUUCAUUACUUGGUCGAUGACGAGCUAGGAGUCGCCUCGAACGUCGAGGCGUCGAACUCCAAGCUCGAUGGCGAUCUUCAGACCGUUAACAAGAGCUUCGUACUCUGCAACAUUGUUGGACACAGCAAAAUGUAUCCUAAUGACGUACCUCAUAUGAACGCCCAGGGGCGAGAUGAACAGCAGGCCGGCCCCAGCUCCCGUCUUCAUGAGAUACCUGUUGAAAUACAUCGUCCAUAGCUCCGACUGAACGUGAGUCGGGGGAAGCUGGUAGUCUGUCCACUCCGCAACGAAAUCCACCAGGGCUUGUGAGUUGAUAGCCUUACGAGGCGCAUAAGUGAGAGUCUCACUCAUGAGCUCGACUGACCAUUUGGCUAUUCUUCCCGUGGCCUCCCUACUUUGGAUUAUCUCGCCCAGGGGGAAGGACGAGACCACCGUGAUAGGGUGGCCGAGGAAGUAGUGCUGCAGCUUGCGUCAGGCGAGGAUUGCGGCGUAGAUCAGCUUCUGGAUUUGGGGGUAACGUGCCUUGGUCUCCGAGAGCUCCUCGCUGAUGAAGUAGACCAGCCUCUGGACUGGCAACGCAAGUCCCUCCUCCUGCCUCUCGACAACCACAGCUGCACUGACGACCUGGGUCAUCGAGGCAAUGUAAAGGAGCAGUGGUUCUAUAGGUUGAGGUGGGACCAGGACUGGUGCUGAAGUUAGUGUUUUCUUCAGGUUUUCGAGGGCUUCCUCGGCCUCGGGGGUCCAAGAGAAACGCUCGACUUUCUUUAGGAGCCGAUACAAUGGCAACGCCUUUUCUCCUAACCUUGAGAUGAAACGACUCAGCGCUGCUAAGCAUCCCGUGACUCUCUGCACACCCUUGAUGUCUCGAAUCGGCCCCAUUCUUGUGAUGGCCGAGACCUUCUUGGGGUUGGCCUCGAUGCCGCGCUGGGAAACGAUGUAUCCAAGGAGCAUGCCUCGAGGUACGCCGAAAACGCACUUCUCGGGGUUGAGUUUGAUCUGGUUAGCGCGUAAGCAGCUGAAAGCGAUCUCGAGGUCCUAGAUCAGGUCUCCCCGCUGCUUUGACUUGACGACGAUGUCGUCGACAUAGGCCUCGACUGUCGACCCUAUGUGCUUGCCAAACACGUGGAGCAUGCAGCGUUGAUACGUGGCUCCCGUGUUUCGAAGCCCGAACGGCAUGGUUAUAUAGCAAUACAUCCCAAAAGGUGUGAUAAAAGACAUCGCGAGCUGGUCGGACUCUUUCAUUUUUAUUUGAUGGUAACCGGAAUAUGCAUCAAGGAAAGAAAGGGUUUAACAUCCCGUAGUAGAAUCAACAAUUUGAUCAAUACAUGGUAAUGGAAAAAGGAACUUUCGGACAUGCUUUAUUUAAACUCGUAUAAUCGACACACAUCCUCAUUUUCCCAUUCUUUUUCUUAACUAGUACAGGGUUUGCUAACCAGUCGGGAUGGUGAACCUCCUUGAUGAAUCCGGCCGCCAAAAUCUUGUGGACCUCCUCGCCAAUGAUCUUGCGCUUCUCCUCGUCGAAUCGGCGCAACUGUUGCUUCACUGGCUUGGAACCGGCUCGAAUUUCCAAGGAGUGCUCGGCGACUUCCCUCGGUAUGCCUGGCAUGUCCGAGGGACUCCAUCCAAACAUAUCGGCAUUCGCAUGGAGAAAGUCGACGAGCACAACUUCUUAUUUGGGUCGAGGUCAGCGCUGAUCGUCAGCACCUUGCCAUCGGAGCUGUUGGGGUCGAGCGGGAUCUUGUUGGUUCCUUCCGCUGGCUCGAAGCUGCUGGCGUGGCGCUUGGGCUCUGGAGCCUCAGCGGCCAGGGCCUCGAGCUUCGAGGCGAGCUCAGUGGAACUCUCGACCGCCUCCCCAUACUCGACGCAUUCAACGUCGCACUGGUAUGCAUGCUCAAAGGAGGUGCUGACGGUGAUGACACCCUUGGGUCCGAGCAUCUUCAGCUUUAAGUAGGUGUAGUUGGGUAUAGCCAUAAAUUUGGCGUAGCCCAGGCGCCCGAUGAUGGCGUGGUACAUGCCCCGGAACCCAACCACCUCAAAGGUGAGGGUCUCCUUUCUGAAGUUGGCCGCCGUGCCAAAGCAGACCGGUAAGUCGAUUCGACCCACCGGCAGCGCCUUCUUCCCUGGCACGACGCCGUGGAAACUGCCGGCGCUUGGUUGGAGCCGCCCCCUGUCGAUGCCGAGGAGGUCGAGGGUCUCGAGGUAGAUGAUGUUGAGGCUGCUGCCGCCAUCCAUCAGCACCUUUGAAAGCCGGGUGUUGACGAUGAUGGGGUCGACGACGAGCGGGUAGAUGCCUGGGGCAACUACCUUGUCUGGGUGGUCCUCUCGAUCGAAGGUGAUGGGGGUGCUCGACCAGCAGAGGUACUGGAGCACCGCCAUUCUUGCCACGAAGACCUCACGGCAUUCCCUCUUGCGCUGCCUUGUGGUCAACUACGUCGAGGAGCCACCAUAGAUCAUGUAGCAGUCGUGGACGGCUGGGAAGCCGUCGUCGUCUUUGUUGUCCUCCUUGUUGCCGCCCUUCUCCUUCUUUGGUUCGUCGCGCGCGUCCUUUUUGAACCCCAGACCGUCGAAAUGCUUUUUCAGCAUACGACAGUCCUUGAGCUUGUGGUUGGCUCCUCCCUUAUGGUACGGGCAUGGCUCCUCUAGCAUCUUAUUGAAGAUGCCUCCAUUUGGAGGGCCUCGAGGCCUCUUGCGUUCCAUGGCGGUGACGAGAUCAUCGUCGAAGUCUUCCCUCUGGAACUGCCACGCUUUCUGCUUCUUCUUGUUCUUCUUGGGCCCUCGACUGGGGGUCCCAUCUUCAUCGGUGGGCUGCUUGCCUUUCCUUCCUUCACAGCUAAAGAAGGCACCGACCGCUUCCUCCCCUGCUGCAUAAUUCGCCACUACGUCCAUCAGCUCAUCGACGGUCUGAGGGCGGUUCCGGCCCAAUUCCCGCACCAAUUCUCGACUGGUGGUACCAGAGACAAAGGCUAGGAUGACAUCGUGGUCGGGGAUAUGCGGUAGCUCGGUGCGCUGCUUCGAGAAGCGUCGAGCAUACUCCCGAAGAGUUUCUCCUAACUUCUGCUUGCACUUGCUGAGGUCCCACGAGUUCCCAGGUCGUAUUUAGGUCCCUUUGAAAUUACCCUCGAAAACCCUAACCAAAUCGACCCAGUCGUGAAUCUGAUCGGCUAGAAGUUCCUCGAGCCACCGACGGGCGGUGUCGGAGAGGAAAAGCGGUAGCUGUCUGAUGAUGGCUCGAUCAUCUCCUCGAGCACCUCCUAGCUGACAGGCCAGCCUGAAAUCGGCCAGCCACAACUCUGGUUUGGUUUCACCGUUGUACUUUGCGAUGCUGGUCGGGGGUCAGAACGGACUGGGCAGGGGCGUGCUGCGGAUUGCCCUGCUGAACACCCGUGGGCCUGGUGGCUCGGGGGCCAUCCGGUCCUCAUCGCUGUCAUACCUCCCACCGUGAUGUGCGCUGUAACCGCGCUCUUCCGCGUCCCCAUGCCGACGGCGUCGAUUCUCUUCAAUGUCGCGUCGUGCGUCGUGUCGACGUUGGUUGUCGACGGGGAGGACGAGCGUGGUCUUUUUUGCUCGGGGGGUGGCUGUUGAUGAACCGACACCUCCUUUUCGUUUUGGGCUGGCUCAUCGUGCUUUUCAGCGGCAGCUCCUCGACGUCGUGAAGCCGAGCUUUUGGCUUGUUGAACUGCCGCCACUUGGAGCAGAGUCUGCACCUCAUCUCGAAUGCGUCGAGCUUGGGAGUUCGAUGGUUCUGGCAUGUUGCGCAACAGCAUUGUCGCUGCCACUACAUUCUGGCCUGCUCGAGGGAAACGGCUGACGGGUUGCUCUGGCUCUGCGUCUCCAACGAUUUGCCGGUGUACCUCUCAGAGCUCGUCUACGGACACUUCCGCCAGGCGAGUAAGGCAAGUCUUGCUCGAGGAUUUGCUCGAGCAGGACGAGGCACUCACGAUCCUCGUCAAGCUUUUUCUUGAGCUCUCGUAACUGCGCAAGUUGCGCGGCCCUGUCUUCCUGUGGAAGUGGGUCGACCUGUCCGUCGUUCCCAGGCGUCCUGAGGUCUUCUCUUGCUGUAGGGGGUCGACCACCGGCAGCAGCAUCUUGUGUCUCGUCGGUAGUUUCUACCGCUCCGUCGACAUGAUAGCAUUCCCUAGAAGGGUCGUAGCUAUCGGUCUCGGAGUCGGAAUCCGGUUCGGCGGCGUAGAAACAUCCACGUCCCUCCUCCAGCAGCCACUUCCUAAGCGAGGUGAUCGUAUAUCGCCCAGGGCCUAGGCGUCGGAUGCCUCGUACCUGGGAGAAACCUGGCAGCUCGGACGUCGGCUGCUGUGCUUCAGAGUCACGUGGGAGGACCACUGGUCUCUCUACGUACGUCUGGGCGUUUGGGCAUAUCGCCCUGGCGAGUGACGCUACGGCAUUGUCCAGGCCAAACGGUAAGGCUCCUCUUGAGGUGAACAGCCCAUGUGGAAGUAGCCUGGCGGUGGGGGAGGGUGCGCGGGACGCGUCACCUCCCGUCAUCGUGUGAUCAUCACGGCGCUGAGCCGUCGCGCCCGUGGCGCAUGGGGCUAUCGGCUCUCGUGCCGCCUCCUACCUCGCACGGACAGCCGGUCGUGGCGAGGCAGAUGGGCGACGGUGGUGCUGUCCACGCCUCUUCUUGGGUGGGGACGCGUGGUGGUGAGUACGUCUUGGGGCCCUCAUCCGGGUCGGCGCAACGCGGGCUCCUCCCGGCCCUUUGAUCGAGAGCAAGAUCAUGUCAUAGCCGGAGCCAGUAGACAUGAACUCGAGACUCCCAAACCAAAUCACCGUGGAGCGUGGAAUCGGUGAAGAAAGAGUGGCCAUCUGGAAAGGAGUGGGAAAUCGAUGAAAAACACGCAGGACCCCUACCUGGCGCGCCAACUGUCGGUGUUUUCCCCACGGGGGGUCACACCAAUGAGUGAAUUUGUAUGCGUGCUUCCCUUUCCCAGAUGGUGAUGCAAAAAGGCACAAGGAUUUAUCCUAGUUCGGGCAAGAGAAGGCCCUACGUCCAGCGGGGGGGAGAGAGUUUGUAUUAUUUUGCACCUAAGUGCUUGUACAGGGGCGAAUACAAGCGUGGUAUGGUGUAUGGGAGUUCUACUGCGUAUGAGCGUGGUGUUACCUUGUUCCUCAUGUCCUGUGUUCACUCUUCGGUCUCCCCUUUUAUAGUUCCAAGGAGAGACCUAGGGUACAUAUAUAGGUGACAGACUAGGGGUUGAUAGAGGCAUGGCGCGCUGACCUACUCGAGGCUUCCGUACCGGCGUGGUCUCGAGCCAUUCCGUCCUGGUAGCUUGAUGAUGAUUACGCGUGCCCUUAUAUCCUGCUCUGUACGCUGUCUUGGACCGGUUUGUCCGUUGCACGCCUGUACGUCACGGCGGCUGAUACGUCAGAGUGGUGGCAGUGCCGUCAGUCGACGCCCAACCCUUCCCUAGGAAGGAAGCAUGUCUGGUCGAGGGUCGGACGCCAGGUAGCGCCUUGCUAUCCAGAGUAUUGACUUUUGGCGUCUCGAGGGGGUCCUGACUAGACGCUCCAUCCCUGCUUCCUGCGUCCUGACACGCUCUGGGUCGUUUGGUGGGGAAGGCUGCAAAAAGAAUGACGAGACGGAUGCCUGUUCCCCAUGACGCUUCCCGUGACUGGCGUGUUAGGUGGGAAUGCGACAGGCGCAUUAAAUGCUCUGGCUCCCGUGCGCGUGUCAGGCGGCGGGCGGCGUCCUGGCGCUCGACGCCCGCCGAUUCGCUCGAGCCUGUUUCCGUAUUCGACGGUAGUUGGUGCUCAAGCCCUGCUUGAUUCGCUCGACGCCCUUUCCGUCUUCGAGGCUGAGGUCGUCGAUGACUAUACGCGUGAUUGUGUAGAGCGUCGAGUUGGGGAUCUCGACUUUCGUUCGGACGAUCUCGUUAUGUACAUCAGUUGGGAUACCCCUUACUGAUAUCCUCGACAGUAGUAUUUGGUAAGGGACGGGGCAGCAAACCUGUUCCCAAAGAUGCUCAAGAACAUGCACCCAUGUGGAAGAAGAAGUCCAUAUUUUGGGAGCUACCCUACUGGCAUGUCCUAGAGGUCCGCCACGCGUGAUGCACCUUACAAAGAAUCUAUGUGUGAAUCUUGUCAGAUUCAUGGGUGUCUAUGGGAAACCUAAGGAUUCACUUGAAGCACGACAGGACUUGGAGGAAAUAAAAGAAUGAGGCAACCUGAAUCAGGAAAAGACAGAUGACGGGCGCCAGUACUUAAGCCCUGCUUGCUAUACUCUGAGCAAAGAAGAGAAGGAACGCAUGUUUGAAUGUCUGAAGAGCUUCAUGGUCCCAUCUGGAUUCUCCUCCAAUAUAAUGAGAGUAAUUAAUGUGCAAGAGAAGAAGUUCCUAAACUUGAAGUCCCAUGACUGCCAUGUGCUUAUGACGCAAUUGCUUUCUAUUGCUCUAAGAGGAAUUGUACCUCCGCAUGUACGUCUAGCCACCAUGAAGUUAUGUGCAAUCCUCAAUGCAAUUUCUCAGAAGACAAUCAAUCGAGAUGAACUUGCUACUCUGUAGAAUGAUGUCGUUCAAUGUCUCGUUAGAUUUGAGUUGAUGUUCCCUCCAUCCUUCUUUGAUAUCAUGACACACCUCCUAGUUCACCUGGUCAAGGAGAUUAUAAAUCUCGGUCCUAUGUUCCUUCACACCAUGUUCCCCUUUGAGAGGUUCAUGGGUGUUCUGAAGAAAUAUGUUCAUAGCCGCUCUCGGCUAGAAAGAAGCAUUACCUAGGGCUAUGGCACAAAGGAGGUUAUAGAGUUCUAUGUUGACUUUAUUCCAGACAUUGACCCAAUUGGCAUUCCUGAAUCACGACAUGAGAGUAGACUCAGUGGCGAGGAGACACUUGGGAAGAAAACAUAUAUCGGUACAGAGAGCAAUUACUUCAAUAAAGCACACUACACAGUUCUACAGAACUCCUCGCUGGUGGAUCCGUAUAUCGAGGUACAUAAGGAUUUCAUUCGAUCCAAGUGGCCUGGGAAGAAUGAAGCUUGGAUUAGGCAUCAUCACAUGGAAACCUUUGGCGAUUGGUUGCGAAAAGAAUGUCAGGUUGAUGAAAACAUAGAUGAGCAGCUUUAUUUGUUGGCCAGACAGCCAUCAUGGCAUAUCAGCAUGUACAAAGGAUACGAGAUCAAUGGGAAUACAUUUUACACAUUAGCCCAAGAUAAAAGGAGCACCAACCAAAAUAGUGGUGUACGAGUAGAUGCCACAGAUCCAAAUGGGAACAAACAAACAUACUAUGGCCAAAUACAUGACAUAUGGGAACUAGACUAUGUAGCAAAUUUUAAAGUUCCUUUGUUCCGAUGUAAAUGGGUGAAGAUGACCGGAGGUGGGGUUGUUAACGGUCGAUAACACAAACUUUUAUUAGAACUUUAGACCCGAAGGAAAACAUGAAAACACACUAGUCCAGGGUUUUAUUUGACAAUUUCCACUAGUUUUGCAUAUUCUAUAUUUUCUAGGGUGAAUUUUAGGAAAGCUGAAAAGAGGGAUUCUAGUGCAGAAUAAACAUGAAACUUAUCCGCUACAAGAAACAUCACAGAAAGACUCAAGAAGGAUGGAGAAGACACACGAAGCAACGGGGGGCCUGUUGGUCGAUAGGUGGGACCAGCCGGCCCCACCAUAGCGCCGGCAGGUGCCCCCUCUAGGGUUUUGACCCCUCUCUUCUGGAAACUUCCUCCACCACCUACGAGGAGUCAUCUCGGCCCUUGGUUAAGGCGGCUUGAUCCUACAGCGCACGCGCAUCCCAACCGGACUAUUAUUCAUUAUUCAUCAAGGCCUCAAGCCAUCAAGCAUCAAGCGCCUUCAAGUUCAUCAAGAGCCUUCUAGUUCAUAGUUCUAGUUAGUCAGAUUAGAGUUAGAGGAUCUAGUUCUUCAUCAGGAUCUAGAGCCCCUAGCAUUGGUCUAGAGCGCAAGAGUUCGGUAAUAGAUCUAGUUCUUACUUUGUAGUAUUCAAUUGUAUAUUAGGGAGACUUUAUUCUUAAUAGAUUCAUAUGUUCUUAAUUGCAAUGGUCAUUGUCUACUUUGAUUAUAUGUCUAGGAUAGUUGGUUUGAUCUUAUUGAAUUCAUGUAAUUGCUCGUAUAGCGUUUACCUAAAAGAUCUUUGGGUAGAUGGUAGACAAUAUGUAGACGUGGUGUCUAGAUAUGGGAUGUGUGGUAGACCGCAUAGGUGACAGCUGUGUUGGAUCCUCUGUAGUCCACCCUCCAUACAUAGGACUAGCAUGGGCACGGUCACGAAGGAGGUGACCCUUGUGUCUUAAUACCCUCAUUAGUUGAUGCCUCUUUACAUGUGAUUACGAUAUAGGGUUAGCUCAACAAUGGUUUCUAGAUGUAAUUGCACUAAAUAGAGUUAUACAGUGAUGUAGUUAUAGAAUUACCUUAGAUCCAACUCCCUAGUUUUUCCAAUGGCUAACUGUGAUUAUGACUAGUAGAUGCUCUGAUGAUUAUCCUUAAUUAUAAUAUUUGAUGAUUAUGCUAUCAUUAUUAUUUACCCAUAUUUAACUUGUGACCUCUGCCUAUUAUGAGUAGAUUAGGCAACCUUGGUAAUAUCAUUUAUUCAUCCUAUAUAGUUUCUUAUCAAUAUAAUAGAAUAUAGUUUAAUACUUAGCCUUCCUAGUGGUAUAAAUAUAAAUCGACAACCUGGAUACUUCCCUAUGUAAAAUGCUACAACGGUAUAAUUAUUUGUAUGCCUGCAGAACUCAUUUAGUUUACAAUCACAUUAUAUUCAUAUCUUUUAUAUCUGCCUAGUCACAUUAGUACAUGUGAAUCUAUAAUAAUUUCCUAGCAAUACAAAUAGGGAUGACAACGUACUUCAUGUUUAGGAAUGUUAGUAAUUAAGAAGUGGCUAGUUGCUAAUUGACAAGUUAAUUAUUUACCGUGCAUUUCUGGCGUUGUUGCUAGAGGUAGGGCUUAUCUCAAUUUUUAUCAAUGAUGGUAGUAAAUGUCCACAAGCAUUUUUGGCGCCGUUACCGGGGAAGGUGUUGGGCAUUCUUAACGUCACUACCAAAAGUAGACCUAGUUUUCUAAUUCUGAGAACGACGCCAAAAAUGUCAAACCUAUCCCUCAUGCCACUUAAGCCAAGUUGUCAUCCGCAGCAUGACAUAAGAGACACGGUAUUGAAAUAUGCAAUUGCACUUCUAAAUAAAUAAUAAAUGAGAUCUGCAAGCGCACAGAUUAAUACCGAUGUAGCAUUUUAACCGGGAAGUAUUCCAGGUAUCGUUAUUUAUAUUUUUACCACUGGGAAGGGAUUGGUAAACAUCAAUGUUGAUUAUAGAAUGAAAUAUAGAAUUGAGUAUCUAUCAUUGCAUGUAUAAUUGAGAACAGUUAUCUAUCUAUGUCAUACAGGGAUAAGUGUCACAUAAAAGAUAGAUAAAGUAUGAAUGGUGACAAAGAUAAUUAAUCUGAUCAGCAUAACUUAGCCACAUAUAAAUAUGAUAAGCACCUCAAUAGAUAUUCUAGCAAGUCAUUAGCAUGGAAUUAGAAUGAACUACAAGAAUAUUUCCUAAGCAUAUCAUAGUUAGUGCAAUUAUACAUGGCAAUUAUUGCGAGACAAGACUACGCCCAUGCAUAGUGAUAUUAUCAAAGAAUAUGAGAAACAUCGCAAUCACUCUCCUGUAAUAAUGUUGCUCUGCCAGACCAAUACAUGAGAGGGGAACUAUAUAAGAAUCAAUGGAGCUGUCACUACCACGAACUACCCCGCGAUCUGGCAUAUCGGGUACAAUCAUAGAUAAAUACGGUAUAGGCACCAUGCCCACACAAUACUUAUCAUUUACCCACUCUACACAUGGAUAGAUGCUAUACGAUCCUAAACAUGUAUAUAAUUCCAAUCUAACUAAGCCAAGCAUAUAACUAUGAUAAACUAAGAACAAUAUAAUUGCGAAUAUAAACAAGUAGAGCAAAGUCAUGAUCAAUAUAUUUAAGUAGAACAAAGUCAUAUUCAUAAUAUUGAAGAACAAAGAUGAACAAUUGAAAAAUAGUAGAGGAAUUACCAAGAUUCCUCUUGACAGAUCUGGAAACCAAUCGAAGAUUGACUCCUUCUAGUUCUAAUCCUAUGUAGCUAAGCUAAACUAGAGAUCUAAUUGAUGUGGUGGCUCUAGGGCUUGAUCAGAGGCUUCUUCUCCCAAGAUGAAUAAUGAAUUAGGUGUCAGAGGUCCUCUCCUCCAGGGGCCAGGGGGUCUGCUUAUAUAGUCCUUCCAAGUGAAUGUGGGCCGUUGGAUCAAACCGACAUUAAUCGCACGAUUUUCCUUGAUCCUUUAGGUCGGUGGAGCAUGAUCCGCGAAGUUGAAGCUGAUUGGCUCUGAGGCCAAGGCGGGCGCCCAAGGGGGGAGGGCGGGCACCGUGCCCCCGAGCUCGUCCGCUCUCUCGUUCAUUCCCGUGACUUCUGGACUCUUCUAGAUGUUGAAUAAUUGCGCGGCACGUUAAUAUCUCUAUGUAAACCCGACGUGUGGGCCUUUCUUCCAUAAUUCCUGAUAACCCCCUGCAGAAAUAGACGAACACCAAAACUCGUCUAAUUCUGUCAGAUAAAACCCUAAGUCUGGAUGUCGAUUGCAUUCGGAUCCUUUUCUUUGUUUAUUUGAUAAUUAAAUUUGAUACUUAAGGACCGUCAACAAACUCCCCUAAGCUUACCUCUUGCUCGUCCCUGAGCAAGGAUAAUCUCAGUGAUGGAUCAGAAGUUGCUGCAAUGCCUUUAAAAGUUGACGGUACACAUGCUUUCAAAUGAGGUCUCAUUUCUGAGUUAAAGUAAACUACCAAGACUUAAAACUUAUUCAUUUUACCUAUUACCAUGGGACUUGUAACCGUCACUUCUGUCUUGAGUAGUUAAAAGAUAGAACGGUCUAGUCAAGUGCCAUGUCUCUUAUUCUUGAUCAGCUAUAGCUCUGGAGUUUUUGUAGAUUUUCAAAUAAAACUCAGAGAUUCCUUGUAUGACUCUCUCAGAUCUCUCUUUUGUGGUAUUUCUGGAUCCUUACCAAGGCAGUGAUGGUAUAUGCCUUCUCUCAAAGUAUGUAGUAUUUGUGGUAUAAGGCAUAGUGACAUUGCCUUCUCUCUCAUCCUACUCUAAUAAGGCUUUUAAUAUCUGGAGCUCAUAGGUGGGAGAUAAAGUAUACAUACUUACAUGACAUUUAUUGUAUAGUCAAACCAUGGAUCCAGACAAACAAGUCAAUAAGUCAAAUCAAGAUGUGCAUGUGUGGCGAAUGAAUGGUGUAUGGUGAUGAUAACAAUGGUGAAAGUCUAAUUCUACUUUUGCUCUUUUGAGGGAAUACAUAUCUUUCUUGCUCUUUGAAACUUUUGAGGAGAAUGAGAUGCUCUAUAUUUUCUUUUACUUUCCUCUCAGGUGGGUAUCUUGUACCCCUAAUUCUACUGUCGGACACUUGUCCAUUUUUACCUCUCGUCUCACUUUUUCUUUUUCUUCAAGGUUCCGGGCACUUGCCCCUUUUUAUUUCCUCGUAUUUUUUUUCUUUUUUAGAGCACUCAUUUCCUGAAAUAAUAUAGCAAGUGGCAGUAACCAAGAUAACUUGAGCAUUUAUUUCACAGGGAAAAACAGAAAUAUUUUUGGCUAUUCUCUCCCGGAUUAGGAGUAGAAUAUUUUUGGGUGGUUCUGGAGAUGGAAAUUGGUGGAUAUAUGUGGAUGUGUACUUCCGGAGUAGAAGCAGCAUGUGUGAGUGAACGUGCAAGUGAAUCUUAAUUUUAACCACAUGACAAGCUCCUAAGGGUCUACACAGCUUGACCACACUCAAUGCUCAUAAGGAGUAAAAAGUAAAUGUGUGGCUCAAAGUCUAGCAAGCAUGUAUAUAUAUGGCUGUGGUAGGAAUUUAAAGUCUCAUCAUGCAGGAACUCAUCAUGUGAUAUUUUUAAAGAUUUUCAAAGAUAAAAUUCUCCGGAAUUUCUGGCAUCUCUAGGAACAGAUAAACAGCAGCUUAACAUUCUCAUAUCAUAUCCGUUAACAACUUAGGCUUUGGAUCAAGUUUUCUUCCCACAAGUUCAAAUUAUGAGCAAGCUUUAAAUAAUAACAGUUAUGUCUAAACUUGAGAGAGAACUUCAAAUUUGAAAAUUAGGCAGAGCAACUAUUCAUCAUAUGUGUUGACGGUCCUUAAGUAUCAAAUUUAAUUAUCAAAUAAAUAAAGAAAAGGAUCCAAAUGAAAUCAACAUCUAGACUUAGGGUUUUAUCUGACAGAAUUCUACGAGUUUUGGUGUUUGCCUAUUUCUGCAGGGGGUUAUCAGGAAAUACGGAAGAAAGACCCACACGUCGGGAUUACAUAGAGAUAUUAACGUGCCGCGCAAUUAUCUUACAUCUAGAAGACUCCAGAAGCCACGGGAAGAAAGCGGAGGCCGAACGGGGCCAGAGGCAGGGCACCCGCCCUCCUUCCCUGGGCGCCCGCCCUGACUUGGAGUCCAAACAGGACUCUGUUUCAUGGGAGAUCUCCACCGACCUAAAGGAUCAAGAAUAACCGUUCAAUCAAUGUCGGUUUGAUCCAACGGCCCAUAUUCACUUGAAGGGACUAUAAAACCAGACACCCUGGCCCCUGGAGGAGGGAGCCUCUCAACCCUAAUUCAUUAUUCUCAAGGGAGAAGAAGCCACUGAUCAAGAUUAGAGCCACCACAUCAAUUAGACAUCUAGAUGAGCAUAGCUACAUAGGAUUAGAACUAGAAGGAGUCAAUCUUCGAUUGGUUUCUGGAUCUGUCAGGAGGAUUCUUGGUAAUUCUCUAAUUGUGCUUCUAAUUGUUCUUCUAAUUAUCUUUGUUCUUCAAUAUUAUGAAUAUGACUUUGUUCUACUUCAAUAUAUUGCUUAUGACUUUGCUCUACUUGCUUAUAUUCAAGAUUAUAUUGUUCUUAGUUUAUCAUAGUUAUGUACUUGGCUUAGUUAGAUUGGAUCUAUAUACAUGCUUAGGAUCGUAUAGCGUUUAUCCAUCGGAUCCAUGGGUAAAUGAUAGAUAUUGUGUAGGCGUGGUGUUUAUACCGUAUUUAUAUGCGAUUGUACCCAAUAUGCCAGAUCGUGGGGUAGUUCAUGAUAGUGACAGCUUCAUUGAUUCUUAUAUAGUCCCCCUCUCGUGUAUUGGGCUGGCAGAGCAAUAUUAUUUCAGGGGAGUGAUUGCUAUGUUUCUCAUUUACCUUGCUAAUAUCACUAUGCAUGGGCGUAGUCUUGUCUCACAAUGAUUGCUAAGUAUGCUUGCACUAAUUAUGAUAAUGCUAGACUAUAUAGUUGAGAAUAACUUAGGAAAUAUUCUUGUAGUUCGUUCUAAUACCAUGCUAAUGACUUUCUAGAGUAUCUAUUUGAAGUGCUUAUCAUAUUUAUAUGUGGCUAAGUUAUGAUCAGAUUAAUUAUCUUUGUCACUAUUCAUUACUUCAUAUAUCUUUUAUGUGACACUUAUCCCUGUAUGAAAGAGUUAGAUACAAUGUUCUCAAUUAUAUAUGCAAUGAUAGAUACUCAAUCUCAUAUUCUAUUCUGUAAUCAAUAUUGAUGAUUGUUAAUCCCUUCCCAGUGGUAAAAAUAUAAAUAAUGAUACCUGGAAUACUUCCCAGUUAAAAUGCUAUAUCGGUAUUAAUCUGUGCGCUUGCAGAUCCCAUUCAUUAUUUAUUUAGAAGAGCAAUUGCAUAUUUCAAUACCGCGUCUCUUAUAUCAUGUUGGGGAUGACAACUUGGCUUAAGUGGUAUGAGGGAUAGGUUUGGAAUUUUUGGCACCGUUACUAGAAUUAGAAAACUAAGUCUACUUUUGGUAAUGAUGUUAAGAAUACCCAACAAGCAUUUUUGGUGCCGUUGCCGGGGAAGGUUGAUUACUAAUCAGGAAUGAAUAAAGGAUUUUGAGUUAUCAUAAGUAUUACUAAUAUGAUUGAGCUUAUCUAUUCUCUCAUACAGUUUUACCCCGAUAUUAUCUAUUUUUAUCUUAUGCAGGGGAAUGUAUGAAUAGAAGACAUCUUCCAGGAAAUUUUGUUGACAAUCCCGAAGCAUUAUUCAAGAAGACAAGAGCCAAGCUCAAGAAGAGAUCAUCAACACUUCAGCAAGAAGCUUCAUCCAAUCAAGAAGAUCACCGGAACUUGUCUUCAGAGUUCGAAGCCAUGGCGAACAAAUCAAUCCGCGAGUUCUCAGCUCCCACUACGGACAACAUCCGCACUGGACCUGCUGCAGAGAUCGAUGGCAACUUUGAGCUCAAGCCUGGACUUAUCAAUAUGGUGCAAUCCAACCAGUUCUGUGGGAAGGCACAUGAAGAUGGUAGUGUUCAUCUCCAACACUUCCUGGAGAUUUGCAACACAUUUACCAUAUCAGGAGUUUCCAGAGAUGCUAUACUACUUUGCCUCUUCCCAUUCUCACUGUUAGGAAGAGCGAAGCAGUGGUUCUACGCUACAAAGGAGAAGAAUACUACGUGGGCACUCUGCUCAACAAACUUCCUGGCUAAGUUCUUUCCCAUGGGCAAGACCAAUGCUCUCCGUGGGAAGAUUACAAGUUUUCAGCAACAAAAUGAUGAAUCUAUUCCAGAAGCAUGGGAGCGCUUUCAAGACUACAUCCUAGAAUGUCCCCAUCAUGGAAUAGAGAGUUGGCUAUUGAUGCAGACGUUUUAUCAUGGACUCGGCAACAGUGCCUGAGAGACCAUGGAUGCUGCAGCUGGAGGAGCAUUCUUAUCACUUACCAUAUCACAAGCCACAGCUCUUGUGGAGAAGAUGGCGUCCAAUCAAAGCAGGAAUGAAGAAAGGACCCAGACACGCAAGAGAGGUGGAGGUAUGCAUCAGCUCAAGGAGGUAGACAUGCUGUCUGCAAAGCUAGACCUGCUCAUGAAGAAGCUCGAUGAUAGAGCUGGAGAUAAGAAAGAAGUUAUGCACAUCUACGACUCUCACAUGACUUGUGAGGAGUGUGGAGAUACUGGACACUCAGGCAAUCACUGCCCUGAGAUGCUUGAGGAUGUGAACUACAUCAACAACAACAACAACUACUACUACAACCGUCCUCAACAAAAUCAAGGUUGGAAUCAAUAGAGGCCUAACUACUCACGUAAUUAUCAAGGUAACAAUUCUUACAACAAUAAUAAUAAUUUUCCACCUCUGAGAGAGUUAGUGUCUAAUCAAGGAAAGCUAAUGGAUAACCUAUCUAAGAAAUUGGCAUCUAAUGAUAAAAUGCUAGAAAAUAUAAAUAAUAGAAUGGAUAAUUUCUGUACUGCCAUCAAGAAUCAAAUUAGCUUUAAUAAAAUGAUUGAAUCUCAAUUAAAUCAAAUAGCUGCUGCUGUUCCUACUACUAACCCCGGUAUACCAUCACAACCGGAAGGAUUGGAAUCUGCAAAUCUUGUAGACAUGUUUGAUGCAGGUAAUUAGAGUAACCCCAUCACUGAAUUCACUACUGACCUUCUGCCGGUCAAGAGAGGCGACCCAGGACGCCCCGUCAUCCCGAUCUCCAUCGGCAUGGUGGACGUCCCAGAAGCACUCUGCGACUUUGGCUCUAGUGUCAACAUUAUACCUAGGGUACUCUAUGAAAAUUCUUUACAUAUCCUUUAUUAGAAACAACCAUGUGUUUGCACUUUGUAGAUUAGGCAUUAAGUUUUCCAAAAGGAAUAUUGAAUAACCUUUGUGUCCUAGUUGGUACCUUGUAUGCCCCAGCAGACUUCGUGGUGAAAGAGACCGGUAAUGAUGAGAGAGCACCCAUCAUCUUAGGGAGGCCAUUCUUAAACACCUCGGGAGCAGUCAUCUACGCCAGUGCUGCCAAGAUCAGUUUCUACAUAAAAGGGAGGAAGGAGAUGUUUUUCUUCAAGAACAAGACUACACAAAUCCCAGAUCAAUCCAGACAUGAAUCAAGGAAGAGGACCAGCAGGAGGAACAGGAACAAGCAAGUGUGGACCGAGUCAGCUAAGAUGGUCACUGCAGUUCAUGGAGGCCAAGAUCAACAGCUUAAGUGACCAUUGUUGACCAAGAAGGACGACCUAGGAAUGCCAAGCAUCUAUUGCUCAAUAAAUGGAUACAACUUCUACAAGACGUUUUGCGACACCGGAUCGGGCGUCAACAUAAUGGCCGCAGUCACCUAUCGGCUCUUGUUCGGAACCAUGCGCCUAAAACCAACAUAUAUUCAGUUCCAAAUGGCAGAUCAGACAUUUCGAGAAGUUAAAGGAACAGUAACUGAUGUCCCAGUCAAAAUAGACGAUCAUUUUGUCUACACAGACUUUCAGGUUAUUGACAUGGUAGAAGAUGAGUACGAUCCACCCAUCAUCCUUGGAAGACCGUUCCUCAGCACCGUUAAAGCAAUCAUCUACAUUGGAACUGGAGAAGUCCAUAUGCACUUCCCCUCAGAGAAGGUACACCGUUAUUUUACCGACCCUAACUACAUCUUUGAAGAAUCUAAGCAAAGGAUAACUACCAAGUUUACCUCUUGGCAAGUCGUUCGUUGUUUUUAAGUCCUCCGAACAGGACUCUCUGCUUUCUUAGUUGUAAUGGGAUUCACUGUAUGGCGUAGUCGGUGCUUCCGGCGGCGCCUCCUCUUCAUGUAUAGUUAUCUUCUCUCUCCACACCGGACUUGGUGCUACGGUCUCCUCAGGAUAGUUCUGUUCAAGUUGUAUGUCUUCAGACCUUACCACUUCUCCUUCGUAGUCUGCCCAUCCGUCCUUGAUGAUUUGCCUCCUCUGGUUGCGGUUGCGUCGUCUUCUUCUUGUCCUGACCUGCUUAGAAUCUUCAACUAUAUAGUUAGGGUCACUAAAAUAGCGGUGUACCUUCUCUGAGGGGAAGUGCAUGUGGACUUCUCCGGUUCCAAUAUAGAUGAUUGCUUUAACGGUGCUGAGGAAUGGUCUCCCAAGGAUAAUAGGUGGAUCGUACUUCUCUUCUCCCAUGUCAAUAACCUGAAAGUCUGUAUGGACAAAAUGAUCGUCUAUUUUGAAAGGGACGUCAGUUACUAUACCUUCAACCUUUUGGAAUGUCUGAUCUACCAUCUGGAGCUGAAUGUAUGUCGGUUUUAGGGGCAUGGUUCCGAACAAGAGCCGAUAGAUGACUGCGGCCAUUAUGUUGACGGCCGAUCCGGUGUCGCAAAAUGUCUUGUAGAAGUUGUACUCAUUGAUGGAGCAGUGGAUGCUUGGCAUACCUGGGUCGUCCUUCUUGGUCAGGAAUGGUGACUUAAGUCGAUGAUCUUGACCUCCAUGAACUGCAGUGACCAUCUUAGCUGACUCGAUCCAUACUUGCUUGUUCCUGUUCCUCCUGUUGGUCCUCUUCCUUGGUUCAUGUCGGGAUUGCUCUGGGAUUUGUGCAGUCUUGCUCUUGAAGGAAAACAUCUGCUUUCUCCCUUUGAUGUAGAAACUGAUCUUGGCAGCACUAGUGUAGAUGACAGCUCCCGAGGUGUUCAGGAAUGGCCUCCCUAAGAUGACGGGUGCCCUCUCAUCAUUACCGGUCUCUAUCACCACGAAGUCUGCUGGGGCGUACAAGGUACCAACUCAGACACAGAGGUUCUUCAAUAUUCCCUUUGGGAAACUUAACGCCUGAUCUGCAAACUGCAAACACAUGGUUGUUUCUAAUAAAGGAUAUGUAAAUAUUUUUUUCAUAGAGUACCCUAGGCAUAAUGUUGACACUAGAGCCAAAGUCGCAGAGUGCUUCUGGGAAGUCCACCAUGCCGAUGGAGAUCGGGAUGACGGGGCGUCCUGGAUCGCCUCUCUUGACCGGCAGAAGGUCAGUAGUAACUUCCGUGACGGGGUUACUCCAGUAGUUACCUGCAUCAAAGAUGUCUACAAGAUUUGCAGAUUCUAAUUGUUUCGAUUGUGAUGGUAUACCGGGGUUAGUAGCAGGAACAACAGCAGCUAUUUGAUUUAACUGAGAUUCAACCAUUUUAUUAAAGCUAAUUUGAUUCUUGAUGGCAGUAGAGAAAUUAUACAUUCUAUUAUUUAUAUUUUCUAGCAUUUUAUCAUUUGAUGACAAUUUCUUAGAUAGGUUAUCCAUUAGAUUUCCUUGAUUAGACAAUAACUCUCUCAAAGGUGGAAAAUUAUUAUUAUUGUUGUAAGAAUUGUUACCCAGAUAAUUACCUGAGUAGUUAGGCCUCUAUUGAUUCCAACCUUGAUUUUGCUGAGGACGGUUGUAGUAGUUGUUGUUGUUGAUGAUGUAGUUCACAUCCUCAAGCAUCUCAGGGCAGUGAUUGCUUGAGUGUCCAGUACCUCCACACUCCUCAGAAGUCAUGUGAGAGUCGUAGAUGUGCAUAACUUCUUUCUUGUCUCCAGCUUUAUCAUCGAGCUUCUUCAUGAGCAGGUCUAGCUUUGCAGACAGCAUAUCUACCUCCUUUCUUCAUUCCAGCCUUGGUUGGAUGCCAUCUUCUCCAUAAGAGCUGUGGCUUGUGGUAUGUUGAGUGAUAGGAAUGCUCCUCCAGCUGUAGCAUCCAUGGCGGGCACUAUUGCUGAGAGCAUGAUAAAACGUCUGCAUCAGCAGCCAGCUCUCCAUUCCAUGAUGGGGACAUUCUAGGAUGUAGUCUUGGAAGCGCUCCCUUGCUUCUGGAAUGGAUUCAUCAUGUUGUUGCUGAAAACUUGUAAUUUUCCCACGGAGAGCAUUGGUCUUGCCCAUGGGAAAGAACUUAGCCAGAAAGUUUGUAGAGCAGAGUGCCCAUGUAGUAUUCUUUUCUUUUUGUAGCGUAGAACCACUGCUUCGCUCUCCCCAACAGAGAGCAUUGGUCGAUGUGCUGCAAAUCUCCAGGAAGUGUUGGAGAUGAGCACUAGCAUCUUCGUGUGCUUUCCCACAGAACUGGUUGGAUUGCACCAUGUUGAUAAGUCCAGGCUUGAGCUCAAAGUUGCCGUCGAUCUCUGCAGCAGGUCCAGUACGGAUGUUGUCCGUAGUGGGAGCUGAGAACUCGCGGAUCGAUUUGUUCGCCAUGACUUCAAAUUCUGAAGGUAAGUUCCGGAUGAAACUUUGGUGAUCUUCUUGAUUGGAUGAAGCUUCGUACUGAAGUGUUGAUGAUGCCUUCUUGAGCUUGGCUCUUGUUUUUCUGAAUAAUGCUUCAGGAUUGUCAACAAAAUUUCCUAGAAGAUGUCUUCUAUUCAUACAUUACCCUACAUAAGAUAAAAUAGAAAAAUAUCAGGGUAAAACUAUAUGAGAGAAUUGAUAAUCUCAAUCAUAUUAGUGAUGCGAAUGAUGACUCAAAAUUCCAUAUUCAUUCCUGAUUAGUAAUCAACGUUCCCCGGCAACGGCGCCAAAAAUGAUUGUUGGGCAUUCUUAACGCCACUACCAAAAGUAGACCUAGUUUUCUAAUUCUGAUAACGGCGCCAAAAAUGCCAAACCUAUCCCUCAUGCCACUUAAGCCAAGUUGUCAUCCCCAGCAUGACAUAAGAGACAUGGUAUUGAAAUAUGUAAUUGCUCUUCUAAAUACAUAAUAAAUGAGAUCUGCAAGCACACAGAUUAAUACUGAUGUAGCAUUUUAACCGGGAAGUAUUGCAGGUAUCAUUAUUUCUAUUUUUACCACUGGGAAGGGAUUGCUAAACAUCAAUGUUGUCUAUAGAAUGGAAUAUAGAAUUGAGUAUCUAUCAUUGCAUGUAUAAUUCAGAGCAGUUAUCUAUCUCUUUCAUAUAGGGAUAAGUGUCACAUAAAAGAUAUAUAAAGUAUGAAUGGUAACAAAGAUAAUUAAUCUGAUCAGCAUAACUUAGCCACAUAUAAAUAUGAAAAGCACCUCAAUAGAUAUCCUAGCAAGUCAUUAGCAUGGAAUUAGAACGAACUACAAGAAUAUUUCCUAAGUUAUUCUCAACUAUACAGUCUAGCAUAUCACAAUUAGUGCAAUUAUACUUGGCAAUCGUUGCGAGACAAGACUACGCCCAUGCAUAGUGAUAUUAUCAAGGAAUAUGAGAAACAUUGCAAUCACUCCCCUGUAAUAAUGUUGCUCUGCCAGCCCAAUACACGAGAGGGGGACUAUAUAAGAAUCAAUGGAGCUGUCACUACCACGAACUACCCCACGAUCUGGCAUAUAGGGUACAAUCGCAGAUAAAUACGGUAUAGGCACCAUGCCCACACAAUACUUAUCAUUUACCCAUUGUACACAUGGAUAAAUGCUAUACGAUCCUAAACACGUAUAUAAUUCCAAUCUAACUAAGCCAAGCAUAUAACUAUGAUAAACUAAGAACAAUAUAAUUGCGAAUAUAAACAAGUAGAGCAAAGUCUUGAUCAAUAUAUUGAAGUAGAUCAAAGUCAUAUUCAUAAUAUUGAAGAACAAAUAUGAAAAAUUGAAGAACAGUAGAGGAAUUACCAAGAAUCCUCUUGAUAGAUCCAGAAACCAAUCGAAGAUUGACUCCUUCUAGUUCUAAUCCUAUGUAGCUAUGCUAAACAAGAAAUCUAAUUGAUGUGGUGGCUCUAGGGCUUGAUGAGAGGCUUCUUCUCCCAAGGUGAAUAAUGAAUUAGGGAUCAGAGGUCCUCUCCUCUAGGGGCCAGGGGGUCUGCUUAUAUAGUCCUUCCAAGUGAAUGUGGGCCGUUGGAUCAAACCGACAUUAAUCACACGGUUUUCCUUGAUCCUUUAGGUCGGUGGAGCAUGAUCCGUGAAGUUGAAGCUUAUUGGCUCCGAGGCCAGGGCGGGCGCCCAAGGGGGGAGGGCGGGCCCCCUGCCCCCGAGCCCGUCCGGUCUCCCAUUCGUUCCCGUGGCUUCUGGACUCUUUUAGAUGUUGAAUAAUUGUGUGGCACGUUAAUAUCUCUAUGUAAACCCGACGUGUGGGCCUUCCUUCCAUGAUAAACCCAUACAGAAAUAGACAAACACCAAAACUCAUGGAAUUCUGUCAGAUAAAACCCUAAGUCUGGAUGUCGAUUGCAUUUGGAUCCUUUUCUUUGUUUAUUUGAUAAUUAAAUUUGAUACUUAAGGGCUGUCAACAGAAGGCACAAUAAACUUAGGAUAUAUUGAUAUACGUAUGGAUAAAGUCAUAUUACCAAUCAAUAUCUAAACUCAAUCACGUACACCCUUUAUCGUUAUCAUUUUCUUAUCUUAUGCAGGGUGAUGAAUGAAUGGUUUUUCUCUUCCAAGAAACUUUACUGAAGAUCUAGAGAAACUCCUUAGAAAGAAGAAGUUUGUAGAAGCAAGGGACAAAUUCGAGUCACCAUCAAGAACACCCUCUGCUACUCAAGCUAGCUCAUCAGAGGAGCCAGCUCCAAUAUUGGAAGAGGAAUUUGAAGAACAAGUAGAAGAAUAAGCAGAAGAGUAGUUAGGUGAAAACUUAGCUCCUGUGUUUGAAAACAUGGUUGAGAAGACACUGCGAGAGUUCUCUGCCCCAACAACAACAAACAUUUAGACUGGACCAGCAGUCAACACUGGGGAGAUGGAUUCGAGCUCAAGCCUGCUCUCAUUACCAUGGUUCAAGCCAGCCAAUUCUGUGGAAAGGCUCAUGAAGAUGCAAGUGCACACUUACAACACUUUCUAGAGAUCUGCAGCACCUUCACUAUCAGAGGAGUAUCAAAGGAUGCUAUCUUACUCCGUCUUUUCCCAUUCUCAAUAUUGGGGAAAUCCAAGCAGUGUUCUACAUCAACAAAGACAAACACAAUACAUGGGACCUAUGCUCGACUGCUUUCCUAGCAAAAUUCUUUCCUACAGCCAAGACCAAUGCUCUGCAUGGGAAGAUUUUAAGUUUCCAACAACAACAUGAUGAAUCAUUCACUAAAGCAUGGGAAAGAUUCCAGAAUUACAUUGAAGACUGUCCUCAUCAUAGGAUAGAGGAAUGGCUGUUAAUGUAGACUUUCUAUCACAGGCUCAUCUCUAGUACCUGUGAGUCUAUUAAUGCUGUAGCGGGGGAGGUUUUAUAUUACUUAAGCUCUCAGACGCUAAAGCACUUGUUGAGAUGAUGGCCUCAAAUUCAACAUGCAGUGAAGAACGUACUCAACCUCGAAAGAAAGGAGGAGGAAUCCAUCAUCUCAAGGAAGCUAACAUGGUCACUGCCAAGCUAGACCUCAUCAUGAAGAAGCUCGACAUAGAGAAGAAGGAAGUCAUGCACAUUAAUGAUUCCCAUAUGACAUGUGAAGAAUGUGGAGACUACAGACACUCAGCUAUUAGUUGCCCUACACUACAAGAGGAUGUGGAAUUCAUCAACAACAACACCUACUAUUGUCCUCAACAAAAUCAAGGGUGGAACCAACAACCUCGACAAGGUAAUUACCACGGUAACAACCAAGGUAAUAGUUUAAUAACAACCUUCUGCCUUUAAGAGAAUUAGUUACUAGUCAAUCCGAACUACUAUAUCAAAUGACUAGGAAACUAACAUCAAAUGAUAAAACUUUGGAAAACAUACAUACUAGGAUGGGUACUUUUGCUUCUGCCAUAAAGAAUCAGCAUAGUUUCAAUAAAAUGCUAGAAUCACAAUUAGCUCAAUUAGUUGUUGCUGUUCCACCAUUAGAAAAAGGCAAGAUUUUAGGCCAACCAGAAGAUUUAGAAACUGCUAACCUUGUUGAUAUUCACAAUGCAACCCAAUAUCAUAUUGAGCCUGCAGAUGUACAAUGCAUUGACCACUCUAUGCCAAAGAAGAUGGGAGACCCAUGAAGACCUGUCAUUCCUAUCUCUAUAGGAUGUCACAGCUUUCCAGAGGCUAUCUGUGACUUCAGCGCAAGUGUCGACAUCAUGUCCAAGGUAAUUUAUGAGAAAAUAUGAAAUGAUCCCUUGUUGUACACAAAUAUGCGUUUGCAGCUUGCAGAGCAGUCCAUUUGCUACCUUGAGGGAGUACUAGAAGAAGUUGUCAUUAGAGUGGGGCAAUCAUAUGUCCUAGUUGACUUUGUGGUCAUGGAGACAGGAGUAGAUGAGAAGGCACCCAUCAUUUUGGGAAGACCAUUCUUGUGCACAACAAAAUCCAUCAUCUAUGCGGAGUACACCAAGAUUUUCCUAUCCAUCAAGGACAAUAAAGAGAGAUUCACAUUCAAGAACCGCGUCCUGAAAGCUCCUACAACCCUAAAGCAAUUCCAUCAACAAGGAGAGCAAGAACAUCAAUCAAUGCUGAAGAAGAAGAACAAUAGAAACAACUUAAGAUGGAGGAGGACCAAGCAUGCACCUACAAUGACAACUAAAUUGAUCACUGCUCUCAAUAUAGAGAAUGAUCAUAUGCUACCCAAGCCAUUUCCAAUCAAGAGAGGUGAUCUAGGAGUUCCAAUCAUUGAAUGCACAAUCAAAGACACCACUUUCCCUCACACCAUAUGGGACACCGGAUAAGGCUGCAACAUAAUGUUAAAAUAGGUAUAUGAUGAGUUAUUUAAUUUACCUUUAUACCCAACAUGUAUUCAGUUGCAGGUGGCAGAUCAAUCACUAAGUUUCCCUGAAGGAGUGGUCAAGAAUGUCACGGUAAGAAUUCAAGGAUAAUAUAUACCUGCAGAUUUUCUAGUUCUUGACAUGCAGGGAGACGGUGAUACCCCGAUCCUCUUGGGAAGACCAUUCCUCUACACAGCCAAAGCCAACAUCUACAUUAGAUCAGGGCAUAUCCACUUGAACCCACCUACCAGGAAGGUAAGCUGUCAAUUUAAAACACAAGUUAACCAUGAGUAGAUCAGGAAGCAACAGGAGAAGACGCCAAGCUCGCUGUUAGGCUGCCCAGUCUCACUACGGAUGGGAAGACUUUCCUGGCAAGAUUGUGAAAUAAGAAGAUCUCUUCACGGAGCAAGAAGAGAACACACGAGCACCCCGAUGGAGUGAUUGGGCACAAUAAGCUGAAAGGAUGGACUGAAUUGCCAUGAAAGAGAAAGAGAUCUUAGAUUGAUUAGAAGCAUGGGAGAAGGAGAAUAGAGAUGAAGAGUUGGAGCUAGAAAAGAAAGAAGCAAAAGAGACACACACAAGAAGGAACGAAGAUGCACGUGACGCAUCACCACGAAAUGCAAAGUUGACUGAGGUUACCUCAGACGAUGAACCCACUGAGUAAGUCCUCUCCGCUAUCUAAGUCGUGUUAGUAGUCUUUAAAUUCCGUACCCUAGUCAUCAGGUUUGAAUGGUAGUUAUCUAGUUAAAGCUAGCAUGCUUUAGUAAUUACGCUUUAAUACACUUAGUAGCAUAUUUAUUUCUCUUGGCAUAUUGAUAUAAACAACAAAAAAACAUUUACUGCUUUAAUUACUGCAUCAUACAUACCAAAGCCCCAUGUGGAUACCCUAUGGUAUUUUCCAAAGGAACAUCCACUGUAGUGGCAUAAAAAUUAAAUAGCAUUCAUAUUUAAAAUUCCUGCAUCAUAAAUAGAAAAUUCUAAAAAGAAGAAGAGAAAAGUAAAAUCAUGUUUAAAUUAGACAAUAUUAAGACUAGCUCAUAAAGGAGAUCAGUUACUCUUUGGCUGACCGCUAACCCAUUAACAAAUUCAAGCCUCGAGUUUUGCUUUCUCUUUGUAGAGAGUAUUUAUGCAAGAAUAACAUCAUAGCAAGGAGAGAGUCUAUCAGGGGCACCCACAGGGUUCGCUACUGGCUAGCUCGCUCUAAAGGACGUCUACAUCAGAUAUUGCAAAUAUCUAGCUUGGGGGAGGAGCAUCCCCUAGUUAUCAGGCAAUUAUACCUAAGUGAUUAUCGAGUCUACAUAGUUAGAAAAAUACCAAAAAAUAUGUGAGCACAUGAAGGUUCACCAUAGUAUCAUAGAAAAACAUAAAAAUGCCAAAAACAUGUGGGCACAUGAAGAUCCACAAGUCAUAGUCUUUUUGAGAGUUUAUAAUCAGUUAAAUGUUAGAGUAUGUUUAGAGUCAGUCUAAACUAGAGCUAAAUAAAAAAUUGAUGAAUAUUAAAAUCUUAUCUUGGAAAUGAUGAAUAGUUGCUCUGUUAUAGAUCUUUACAAGUACCUAGAUUUUAACAUGAGAUUCUCUCGAGUUUUGGACAUUACUAUUUUAAUCUAAAGGUUUACUCUGAGCCUACAACUUGCGGAGGCAUUAGUUUGAGCUAAGCCUAGGUAGUUGGUUGAUAUGAUCAUUGAAAGUCUGAGUUGCUAUUUAUCUUAUUCCUAGCAUUACUAUAUUCUGGAGAUUUAUUUUGAAAAAAAAACCAAAAUCCUACAUGAUGAGCUCUUGUAUGACAAGUUUGAAUUCCCACCAAAGCUGGUAUAAUGUAAAUUUAGAGUUAGGAAAACUUUUGCACAUUUAUGCUGCUUGCUUUGCAUUGAGUUUAGUCAAACUUUGUAGUAUACCUUACAAAAGUCAUGUCCUACUUUUAAAAACCAAGAUCACGUACACACUCUAGUUCACAUAUUGUUGGCAUUUCAUAGCGUCACCACAAAAGAUAAAGUCCAUCCCUGCAACAGCUCCAGAAAGCCUAUUGAGUCCAGAAGUGGCAAACAAAAAUACCGCAAGCGUACUGUAGUCAAUGUAGCUUUCACCGGGAGUAUUCCAGGUGUCGUAUUUUCCACAGGGAACAUGAAGUGAACUAACUAGGCUCAAGGUCAUCCAAAGGGUCAAGGAUAGGUAAGUGAUCUCACACAGAUCCUAAUCUAAAGAUAAAUGGCAGAGAGCUAGCUAGGUCGGAGGACAACGAGUGAGUAUAGGACUCCUAUGACUCUAACUUUACUCCUGUGAACCAAAUCUGAUCUAGUAGCGGAUACACACUAACGUCGCUAAACUUAACUGCUUGUUUGUUGGAAGACGACUACAAUAGGAGGACGAAACUCCUAUCCAAGGGGACUCGUUUCUCAUGGGCGCCUACAGACUGUACCCAACGUGAAUAGAACCAACUAGGAAGCAGAGGCCUGUCAUGCUUCGCCGCCGCCCGCUAUCACGUUUGAUAUGGUGGUAUUCAAGGGCAGGCUUUAGUCUAAGCACCACAAUUAUGCUAACUCCUACUACUCAGACUAAGUAUACGACCAAGUCCAAGCACCGUGUUACCGGCAGAGAAAACAACCCAUGCACUUAAGACUAACCUAGCUAGUAUAUAACUGCUACAAGAUAGACUAGGUCACUACAAUAGAAUAUUGCACAAAGUAAAUACUGAAUGUAAAUACUUAGAAAAGUAAAGGGAAUGUAGAUAUAUUAAAUACUCAAAGUCUUACAAGAGAAAAGGUAAAGAGGAAUACCAGACUCUACAGAAGACGACUCCGAAGACUCCAAGCUUCGCUAACACUACUACCCUACAUUGUAACAAGUGGAUCUUGAAGUGUGAGAUGAUAUGAGAUGAAGGCCUAUAGGAGGUAUUUAUUGCAGGAGGUGGAGUAGGGGCUACUCCACUACCACGUUAGCAAUCCGCGUGACCUCCAGCUUGCACCAUUGGAUAAACCGACCUUGGAACCACCAUAUGAUCAAUGGUUGGGGAUUUCCAUCACAUGUUCAUCAUGGGGACAUCGGUGGAGGCAAACCGACCUUGGGGUGCCCACAUGUCAGGGUCGGCCGACCGACCUAUUGCUUCCAUGUGGGCCCCACCAAGCUUCUAGAAGGUGCUGAGGUCGGUGGGAGUGUGGGCCAGGUGGGACCGCACCAAAGGUGGGUGUUGGGUAUUUUAAACGCAAACAGAAAAAAUCCGCAAGCGCACGGAUACUGAUGUAGCCUUCACCCGGGAGUAUUCCAGAGUAUCGAUUUUCCACAGGGAACGUGUAACAUCCCCUGCCACAGAACGUGAGUGUACUAAUUAAGAAUCAAGAUUGCCCAAGGAUAACUAUAUAAGUAUUUUUGGUGGGAAGAGAGGAAGUUUCCUGAGAGUUCUCUAGUUGAUCUAAGAAUCAAGAAUUACUUCAAGAUUAUUUAUAUUGGGACAUCGGAGCACUAACCACAGAAAGAGAUGAGAAGGGGGCUAGGAAGGUCUGACUACGGUCCUACAAACACCGAUCCGAACAAGGUGGAAUACGUCGACCGUUAGGGCUGUCACUACCCUAAGGCUACCACAACAAUCCACAGGAUUGGGUGCAAUUCUAGGUAAUUGCAAGACUGAACACCACGUCUAAUCUAUUAAUUACUACUCUAAUGUUUCAAAGAUUAGAGCACUUGAUGCAAGCGGGAAUCCAAUAAAUAACUUGAAUGUAAAUAAAAGUAAUUAAAGAACUCAGGAGUUAUGAAUUGAAGAACCUGGAGAACGAUGAAGAACGAACCAAUUGCUGCAAAAGUACAAUGUUGAGGAAGAUCCGACAGAUCCGGCUCCUCCUCCGCUCUCCUCUUCUCUCUCCCUAUUUUCUAGAUUACAACUAGAACUAACUAGAACUAAAACUAGAGGAACUAGAACUAGAUGAACUAGAACUAGAUCUAGAUGAACUAGAGGUAGAACUAGAAGAACUAGAGGGAUCCUCUCUACUUGGAUGAAGAAUUGAAACCCUAGCUUUGAUUCUGUAGAAGAGGUAUGAUCUCCAGGGGCCAGGGGGUCUGGUUUUAUAGUCCCUUCAAGUGAAUAUGGGCCGUUGGAUCAAACCGACAUUAAUCGCACGGUUUUCCUUGAUCCUUUAGGUCGGUGGAGCGUAAUCCCUAAAUUGGACUCUGAUUGAGCACUGUAGCAGGGCGGGCGCCCUCAGGACUAGGGCGGGCGCCCUGUGCCUGAGCCCUCUCGGCCUCCACUUCGUUCCCACGGCUUCUGGAGUCUUCUAGAUGAUAGAAAAUUGCGCGACACGUUAAUAUCUCUAUGUAAACCCGACGUGUGGGCCUUUCUUCCAUAUUUCCUGAUAACCCCCUACAGAAAUAGACAAACACCAAAACUCGUGGAAUUCUAUCAGAUAAAACUCUAAGUCUGGGUGUUGGUUGCAUAUAAGUCCUUUUCCAUGAUUAGUUGAUGGUUAAAUAUGAGCAUUAAGGACCGUCAACAAGCUCCCCCAAGCUUAACCUUUGCUCGUCCCUGAGCAAGGAUGGACUCAAGUGUUUCUGUAGUGGUUUCAUGCCUUAAAGAUACACAUGCGUUCAAACAAGAUCUCAUCUCUGGGUUAGGGUAAACUGUUAAGAUUUAAACGUACUCAUAUUACCUAUCACCAUGGGGCUUGCAACCGUCACUUGUGUCUUGAGCAGUUAAAAGAUAGAAUGGUCUAGUCAAGCACCAUGUCUCUUGUUCUUCGAUUAACUAUAGCUCUGGAGUUUUUGCAUAUUUUCAAAUAAAACUCAGAGAUUCCUUGUAUGACUCUCUCUAGUCUCUCUUUUGUGGUAUUUUUGGGUCCUUACCAAGGCAGUAAAGGUGUAUGCCUUCUUUCAAAGUAUGUGGUAUUUUUGGUAUGAGGCAUAGUGACAUUGCCUUCUCUCUCACCCUACUCUAAUAAGGCUUUUAUAUCUGGAGCUCAUAGGUGGGAGACAGCUAAUACAUACUUACAAGACAUUUAUUGCAUAGUCAAACCAUGGAUCCAGAAGAACAAGUCAAUAAUUCAAAUCAAGAUGUGCAUGUGUGGCGAAUGGAUGGUGUACGGUGAUGAUGGUGAUAACAAUGGUGAAAGUCUAAUUCUACUUAUGCUCUUUUGAGGCGAUACAUACCUUUCUUGCUCUUUGAAGCUUUUUGAGGGGAAUGAGAUGCUCUAUAUUUUCUUUUUUUUCUUUUCUCUCAGGUGGGUAUCUUGUACCCCUAAUUCUACUGUCGGACACUUGUCCAUUUUUACUGCUCCUCUCACUUUUUCUUUUCUUCGAGGUUCCUGGCACUUGCCCCUUUUUAUUUCCUCGUUUCUCUUUUUUUUCUCUUUUUUUAGAGCACUCAUCUCUUGAAAUAUUGUAGCAAGUGGUAGUAACCAAGAUAACUUGAGCAUUUAUUUCAUAGGGGAAAACAGAAAUGUUUUUGGCUAUUCUCUCCCGGAUUAGGAGUAGAAUAUUUUUAGGUGAUUUUGGAGAUGGAAAUGAGUGGAUAUAUGUGGAUGCAUACUUCCGGAGUAGAAGCAGCAUGUGUGAUUGAACGUGCAAGUGAAUCUUGACUUAACCACAUGACAAGCUCCUAAGGUCUACACAACUUGACCACACUCAAUGCUCAUAAGCAGUAAAAAGUAAAUGUGUGGCUCAAAGUCUAGCAAGCAUGUAUAUAUGGCUGUGGUAGGAAUUUAAACUCUCAUCAUACAGGAACUCAUCAUGCAACAUUUUAAUUAUUUUCAAAGAUAAAAUUCUCCAGAAUUCUAGCAUCUCUAUGAACAGAUAAACAACAGCUCAACCUUCCCAUAUCGUAUCCGUUAAAGACUUAGACUUUAGAUCAAGUACUCUCCCCACAAGUUCAGGUUUAGAGCAAAUAUUAAUUGAUACCAGUCAUGCCUAAACUUGAGAGAGAUUUCAAUUUUGAGAACUAGUCAUGGCAGAGCAACUAUUCAUAAUUUCCAUGUGAGAGCUUAUCAUGAGGGUUCACAGCAAACUUUAUUUAUUUAUUUAUUUAUUUAUUUAGCAAACUAAGCAAAGAUAUAUAUAUAUAUAAGCACAAAAUAUUUAUUUGGGUUUUUAUGAUCAUGCAUCUUUUUAUUAUUUGAGUAAAAUAUAAACAUGAGUAGAACACUUAGCUGGAUAAAUGGGGGUGCUCUCCCCCAAGCUGGAUUUUGACGUAAUUUCUUCUAAUGUAGCUAGCAAGUGGCGGAGGUGUAUUUGAAUGUCGGCAGCACCCUGACAACGAUUAGGAUGUCCUCCGUCUGCUAGUCUUCUUUAAUCCUUGAAUUCUGUGGAGCUCAAAUAGACAACAAAGCUUUGUGGAAGUACUUAAGUGUUAGCAUAAAUAUCUAGGCUUUAUCAUGUUGAGCCUCCUCAAUAAAUGUUACUCUCUUUAGUAGGAUCAUAAAUUUAUUUUUAUAUUUUCAUUUUUAUAGGACAAGAAUAUAUUUAUUUUAUUUUUACGCCACCACAGUGAAUGUACUUAUAGGUUUUAUGCCAUGAGCAUACUCACAUGGGGCUUACUAUUUUUAACAUUUUUAUUUUCUUUUUAAAAUGAUAUGAACCUGAUUAACUAAGCAAACUGUUUUAAAUAAUUGAAAGGAAAAAGAUAACUACCAAGUUUACCUCUUGGCAAGGCGUUCGGUGUUUUUACGUCCUCCGAACGGGACUCUCCAUUUUCUCAUUCGUCCUGGGAUUCGCUGGAUGGCGUAGCCGGUGGUUCCAGCGGCGCCUGCUCUUUGUGUAUAACUAUCUUCUCUUUCCACACCUGACUCGGUGCACUUCUCUUUCGUAGUCCGCCCAUCCGUCCUUGAUGAUUUUCCUCCUCUGGUUGCGGUUGCGUCGUCUUCUUUUUGUCCUGACCUACUUAGAGUCUUCAACUAUAUAGUUAGGGUGAGUAAAAUAGCGGCGUACCUUCUCAGAGGGGAAAUGCAUGUGGACUUCUCCGGUUCCAAUGUAGAUGAUUGCUUUAACGGUGCUGAGGAACGGUCUCCCAAGGAUGAUGGGUGGAUCGUACUUGUCUUCUCCCAUGUCAAUAACCUUUUGGAAUGUCUGAUCUUCCCUUUGGAGCUGAGUCGUCCUUUUUGGUCAGAAACGGUGACUUAAGUCGACGAUCUUGACCUCCUUGAACUGCAGUGACCAUCUUAGCUGACUCGGUCCACAUUUGCUUGUUCAUGUUCCUCCUGUUGGUCCUUUCCUUGGUUACUGUCAGGAUUGCUUUGAGAUUUGUGUAGUCUUGUUCUUGAAGGAAAACGUCUCCUUCCUCCCUUUGAUGUAGAAACUGAUCUUGGCAGCAUUAGCGUAGAUGACAGCUCCUGAAGUGUUCAAGAAUGGCCUCCCUAGGAUGAUGGGUGCCCUCUCACCAAUACUAGUCUCUAUCAUCACGAAGUCUGCUAGGGCGUACAAGGUACCAACUCGUACGCAGAGGUUCUUCAAUAUUCCUUUUGGGAAACUUAGCGUACGAUCAUGCCGAUGGAGAUCGGGAUGACGGUGCGUCCUGGAUCGUCCGUCUCUCUGGACCGGCAGAAGGUCAGUAAUUACUUCCACAAUGGGGUUACUCCAGUAGUUACGUCCUCAAGCAUCUUAGGGCAGUGAUUGCCUGAGUGUCCAGUAUCUCCAGUGUGUUUGUGCUCGUAGAUCUAGGUUCUUCACUUGGUGGAGUAUGGGAGUUGUAAAAGUCCUUCAUAUUUUGCUCGAAGUGUACCUGCUCAUAAAGACAAACCAGAGAUCAAGUGCAUGGGCCCUGUUGGUGGAAAACACCAACAGAACCAAAAGUGUAUUUGUUCUUCUCUAACCUUAAGCAUAGUGAGCAAAACAAAGUAGAUGGAUAAUAAGAUCAUGGGUGUAGCAUUUAAAACAUUUAUCAGAUUAGAUCGCUCAACCUAAUGGAAAAAAUAUAUUAUCUAUACUUAUGUUAUAUAUAUAUAUAUUCCAAAGAUUGCGUGUGCAACAUUUUAGCUCAUAUGAUUAAGAGUGUGGGAUCACAAAGGUGGAAGGACUAAACAUGUUGAAUCGACUGGGUUGGUUAAUCUAG
Molecule: long non-coding RNA, 58706 nt
Filed under: Sorghum bicolor (sorghum)
Lineage: Eukaryota; Viridiplantae; Streptophyta; Magnoliopsida; Poales; Poaceae
Description: long non-coding RNA (SBIC_LNC006560)
Rfam family: Plant small nucleolar RNA R71 (bases 45935-46041)
Source: RNAcentral